UCCUUUUCUCUAAUAACUUCCAACUUUCUUCUGGACUUAGCAAUCGAAGGUUAAGAGGAUCACUAUUGCCCCUUCCAUGAAAAGCCACUUCCUUUUGUCGAGUCGUCAAAAUAAUUCUACUUCCUUUCUCAACUUCAGGGAAAGGUCUUGUUAAAUCAUCCCAUGUAGUAGUAUCCUAUACAUCAUCUAACACAAUUAGGUACCUCUUUCCAUACAAUUGUUUCCGCAGCUUAUCGACAACAUCAAUUUCUUCGCUGAACUUCAAAUCCAAGCCAGUAACUUGAUUAAAAAGUUCCACUAGCAACUUCCUCUUGUCAUAAUCUUGGUCGACUGUGCACCAUGCACGAAGGUCGAAAUGACUACAAACUGAUUCAUCAUUGUAUACUUUGUACGCCAAGGUAGUUUUACCUGAACCGGGCAUACCAGUGAUUGAAAUGACAUCUAGACUUGCUGGUCCACUGGUGAGCUUCCUAAUUAACCAGUUUGUCUCCUCCUUAAAUCCUACAAUUAUUUUACCACCCAUCAAUGACUUGCUUUCAACUGGCUUCUUGGGAGAGUUUACAACAUUGAGUCUUUUGUUCUUGGGAAUCUUCUCGGAUAUAUUGGAGACAUCUUCUUUGAUAAGCUUGACCUUUUUUAUGGUAAGGGGAAGUGAGAAAAAAAAUGUAUGAGACCAUUAUCUCGAACAAUAAUCGAAUCAAUGACAUCUUUUGCCUCAUAUGCCACAUCUAAAAUACGUGCCCAAAGAUAUUUAUAAAAUUCUUGAUCAAUGUUUGUGAAAAAAGAUUUUAUGAAUUCUACGUCUUGUUUCACCAGCCCAAUUUCUUCCUUUAUCAAUGCAAUUGAAUAAGCAUUGGAAUCUAGCAGAUCAUUCAAGUGUAUUUGUAGCAGAUGCAUGAAGAGCGGUCCAUCAUUCAUGGGGAAGCAACAUUGAGAUGGGUCUGGGGCUUUCAGAUAAUCAUUUUUGAGAUCUUCCUUGAAGAGUUCAAUAUUUUCCAGCAAGUCUCGAGUCGCACAACUUGUUUCAUCGGUACUCUCUUCAUUCCUUGAUUUUUCUUCUAAGUCACGAACAAGAGUUGAUACCUUUGUGGUAUGUGCUCCAACACGUGCCAAAAGAUCAAAUAAUUUGUCAUGAUGAAUAAUGUCCUUGGGCAUAUCCGUAAGAAUAAUUAAAAGGAACUCUAUAUUGACAUGAAUGUUUCGAGCCCCUGGAGUUGUAGCGAUAAUGACAUUUACCAUGUGCCUUGUAGAUGAAUCAGAUACUCUCUAAGAAUGCCCAGAGAGAUUUCCAGGAGAUUCUUAAUGAAGCAUCCAACUUCUGCUGAAGUUGAAGUUUUCAAAUUUGUAUAACAUAUUUGCAUCACCUCCACCUCAAUUGGAAUAAUCUUCAUGAGUAGAUGAGGUAGCUUGAAGACCUUAGAGUCUUCACUAGUUAGAUCAUCCCAAAGGAAGAGUCCAACUCUCUCAGCCAUGAGUUGAAACUGAGGUAAGACAUAUUCGACAAUCUCGCGCUCAACGUAACCAUUCACUAUCAACCCAUGAAAAUCCUUCAUGUUGCCACACACUUUAUGAAGAAUCUCAUACUGAGUCUCUAAUGAAAAUAUCUGUUCAGCAAGGUACUUGGAUAGAUAAUGGAGAUUCAAGAGGAGGAAGUCCAACUGCUCGUCAGUCAUGGUGGCACUUGAUGUAGAAUGAUAACACGAGCUGAUACAAUCAUCGAUAUUAUCCAUGAGGCUAGGAAGGACAUGAUCCAUGUUGUAUUUACAACUGACAUUGUUGUCAACAACAUCCAAAAUUUGUUGAAGCAGAUUCUCAACCUCUUGUCUUGAAGCAUCACUAAUUUCAUCGGCAAACUCUUCCGAAUCACAAUGAGAAAGCUGGACAUAUGUACAAAUAAAUUCCAGAUGAAAUUUCAGCUUUUCAAUUUGAUCGGCUUUGUCAGUAGCAUUUUGACCGUCUUCAUUCUUUAACCCGUCCAAGAAAUUCAGAACGUUGACAACGGCCUUGCGAAGAGCAGAAAAUGACACCUGCCAAACGACCAAAUAUUAAAUCAAAAUUUUCAUAGCGAACAUAUAUACCAUGCAAUGUUUACUCUAUACAGGCAACCAUCACGUACACAUGUAUUUUGUAUGAAUUUGAUGUUAUCUAUCCGACCUAAUACUUCAUCCAAAAUUAUCAGAUACUUGUUAUAUGCUUUAUCUUCUAAGAAAAAAAAUCAAAAUAAUGGAAAAAGGUCAAAAUAUACUACAAAACUUACACCAAAUAUGCCCUUCCCUAAAAAAAAUGGAGUAUUUAUACUCGUGGCAUAACACCAAUGACUCCCGUAUGCCCUUUUUGACUAAUGAAAGUGAAAUAGUCGAUGUUAAAAUUAUUUUUCUAUUUUUGUUGUUAAAACAAAAGCCACAUGGAUUUGAUUAAAGAACUGGCUAGAAUUUCCCACUCUACUUUCAAAACUUGUAGACAUUUAAUUUCCGUUUUACAAUCUGAACAUAAAUUUGACCUUCUAGUGAAUUGUAUUUUCAGGAUAAUUAACACAUAGUUCAACGACUUAAAUGUGAUAAAGUAAAGUUCAGUGAUUUUAGUGAGUCAAAAUUAGCUUAUAUAAGUAACUAAUUAACUGAUACAUACAUAAGUAAAGUUCAGUCAUCAUGACAUACCUCAAAAUUGUUUGCUUUCCUUUUCUCUAUUUCUCCUUGUUUUUCCAUGACUGUAAGUUUCUUUCAAAUUUCAGUAGCCAAAUUUUCUGAAUCUGAUGUAUAAAAAAUAGACAAAAACUUCAUCAGGUGAAAAUUGAAAGAAGCAAAAAAUUAAUUUCAUAGUAGAUAAAAGUGUCUUUCAAGUUCCUUUCCUUUCAAAUUCUCAGGAUCUGAUGGAUAAAAUGUAGUUAAAAAGUUUAUUAGGAGAAUAAAGCAGCAAAAAAUGUACAGAUAUAAAUAAGUAAAUAGUAUUCUGUGUUUACUUUCUCAAUUUUUUCAACAGAUCUUAAUACCAAAACUAAACAAACUGAGUUUAUCUGAGACUAACCUUAUCACUUGAUGAAAAUUCUGAUAUAGUUGCUUUGUUCCUCUAUGUUUUUGUGUGCUCUCCAAAAAGCAAUUAGCUUGAAUAAUGAAAAACAGAAAAUUAGAAGAUCGAGAGAGAACAAAUGAUUGAUGUUAGGUAGAAAAUGAUGCAUAGUAUUUCCAAUAAUGUUUAUAAAGCAAAAGCAAAUGGGACCUCCAACUUAAUCAUACUCUCAAGUGGGAACAAUAAUCUGUAAUAGGGAGUAUUGGCCACGAAAUAUAUAUAUAUAUAUUUUUUUGAGAUAAGCAUCCUGAACUAUGAUCAAAGUUGCUCCGAUAUACUCCUUCACAGGGUCCAAUUACCCCUGAACUCAAUUUUAAUGUAUUUUUGUCACCUUUUUGAGCUGGCGUGGAACCUUUAUUACAUAAAAUGAAGCCCACGUCAAAGAUAUCACGUCAUCUAAAAAUGAUGACAAAAUACGCUUAAAUUUAUUUCGGGGUUAUAGGACUCAAGUGAAGUUGGAGUGUAUCGCAGCAAAUUUGGUCAUAGUUCAGGGAUAUUAGAUGCUUUGCUCUAUUUUUUUGGUGUUGUGUUUGGCCAUAAAAUUCAGGAAUUUUUAGUAAUUUGAAAAAUAUCAAAAUACUAUUUUCACUCCAAAUUACUCACAAAAAUUCAAAAACAACUCCAAUUUAUAUUCGUUUUCUCCUUGUGACCUUUUAUUGUUACUUAUCGUCUCCUUCCACAGGUCCUUUUAUUAUCCAUAGAGUAGUAUGUUUUUGUAUUGUUACUCUAUGUACAAGGAUAAUAUUUUGAAAGUAAUCUAUCUGUGGGAUCAAAAAGAUUUUAUCAGAUUUUUAGUGUCCUUUUAUUUAACUUUUACAAUUUGAUUUCAGAAGAUAUCAGUGUAUCAAUUUAUUUAUUUUUUUUUUAAAAAAAACACUAUUAGAGACUAACCUUUUAACAUGAUGAAAAUAUCUUCUUCUUGCUUUAUAAUUCAUCCAACUACUUCAAAUUGUUGGGAGAUGUUUGGUUUGGGGGUAGUGAAGAAAAUAAUUUUAGUAUUGAAAAAUAUUGUAGAAAAAACUAUGCAUAGUGUUUUCAAAAAGUCUAGAAAGUAAAAGGAUGAAGCAAUGGGUCCUCACAGCUUGUCUACCAUAAGUCUAAAAGGAAAAAGAAAAGUAAGUUAAUCAAAGAGAUAAACAUCCAGUACCCCUUCGAACUUUGAUCAAAGUUGCUGCGACACACUUUAACUUCACAGGGUUCUAUUAAUAAAGGAUAAAAUCAACUCCUGUUUUUGAAAUUUCAAAUUUAGUUGUCCUUCUCUUUAAGACUCUUGUAUAUAGAUAAGUAUUAUCCUUUUCUUAGUUUAUCUCUUUGUUGUAUUGUAUUUAUAUAUACUCAGUCUACAAUCAAUGACAAGUAUCGUUCCUUUCAUUCCAUUAACAGUCUUAUACUUCAUAUGGUAUCCAGAGCCAAUUAACUCUCACAAGUAUAAUUCUUUUGAUCCCUCCCACUCUUCCCAUCAAAAUGGCCACAAACAUAACUGUAACAAAUUCAGAUGCCAACACCACAAUUGUCCAGUUCAAUUCUGUCACCCAGUUACCAAUCAAACUAACUGGCAGUCACAGUUUUUCCCUCUAGAAAGCACAAGUGUCCAUGCUUAUGCGUGGUCACAACAUUUAUGUCCAUCUCGACGGUUCUUGCCCUGCCCCUACUCGUACAGUCGCUCAAAAUAAUCAGGAAGUCGAAAAUCCUGAAUUUGUUUCAUGGUAUCGCCAAGAUCAGCUUAUUCAAAACGCCUACACUUGCUGCUACAGUUGCCGCUGCAUCCACCACCAAGGCUGCUUGGGAUGUUUUGCACACUGCCUAUGCCAAUAAAUCACAAACAAGAAUCUUUAGUUUGCGUGAUCGUCUUUCUCGUCUCUCGAAAGAAUCCCUUCCCGUCGCUGAUUAUCUACACCAAGUUCGAUCUCUCUGUGAUGAACUUGCCACUGCUGGAGCUCCUGUGUUUGAUGAGGAAUUGAUUGUCAAAAUCCUCACUGAACUUGGCCCAGAAUUUCAUGAAAUAUAUGCAGCGAUCCGUGUAAGAGACUCUACUAUCUCUUAUCCAGAACUUUAUGAAAAGUUGCUUGAUCAUGAACUUUUUAUAAAACAUAAAGAAGCAAAGAAGCCAUUAUCAUCACCAAUUACUGCUGCUAUUGUACAGAAAACAAACACGCAUCCUCUCCAAGGAAACAACUCAAACACACAUCCUCGCCAAGGAAACAACAACUCCAACAGGCGUCCCAGUGCAAAUUUCCCCAACACCAACCAGCCAUGGCAUAGUGGAAAAAAUAACCAACAACAAUGAUAUGAAAACACUCUGAAGUGCCAGUUGUCUGAUCUUCCUGGUCAUUCUGCCAAAGUGUAACACCCCGCAUUUUGGGCUAGAAUAAAAACCAUGACUCUGAUACAUUGAUAAUCCCAGAGCCUUAAAUCCUAUGACAAUUUGGAAUGUUUAUGUAGUAUGUGAAUCCAUUUGAGCAUGAAUUUAGGCCAUAGAGGUCCUUCAACUUAAGGAUGAGUUGAAACUAUUUCGAUCGAUUAAGUUUUAGUGGACGUUGUAAUUAGUGUCAGCUUCCAUCGACCAUAAAUCUCUAUAUAUGUUGAAUUAGAGAGCCUAAUAUGUUUCAAAUGAUAGGUCUUUGAGUUAAAUUUCCAACGAUACCAAUUUUGCUAAAAUUCGAUACCCGAGCAAGAAGUUAUGGCCUUUCAAAGUAGUAUGCGUCGCCUAACCAAUCGCAUAUGGCAACUGGAAAGCAUAUGCGACACCUAUGUAAAUAUAGGCUAUAUCACAUGCGGCGCCUAUGUAAAUAUAGGCGAUAUCAUAUGCGGUGCCUAUGUAAAUAUAUGCGAUAUCAUAUGCGGCGCAUAUCUUAUGGUUUCAAGUGACUUAAACACUCCAUAUUUGGGGCAAAAUGGUCUUUUUCCCACCCUUAUUCAGCCAUAAAUAUGAAAUUCAGUCCCCAAUUCUCCAAAAUACAUCCACAUUCAUCUAAAAAUUCUCAAGAACACUCCCAAGGGUUUCAAACUAAAAACCAAAUAAAUUAAGAUUUAACUGUGGGUUUUCAAAAUUGAUUAGAGAUUCAGAAUCCCCAAUCCACAGGCUUCAAGAAGCACCCAUUAUUUUCUGAAAUAGAGGUAUGCAACCUAAAUUCUCAUGGGCAUAGAAAAAUCAUGUUUUAGAAUGGGGUUUUGAAUAUAUGUAUAUAUUCAUGUAUUAAAUGUUUUAACAUCAUUUUUUUAGUCUUUUGACCUUUCCCAAAGUGAAUUGAGAAUAUGAAUGUAUGAAACUAUGUAUUUAAGAAUGAAUUCUUGUUGAGAGCAUGUUUUUCGGUGAAUUCCCUCUUAUUAUGAAUUUUUCAGAUUUCUCAUAGCAUAUGAAUUAUUUUGCAAUGCAUCCUUGAAAAGCACUAUAUGAAAUGAUUGAACUCUUGUUAUGAUUUAAAGGUGAUUUUAAAUCACUAAAGAGGGAAUCUAGCAUGAAUCUUUAAUGUUCAUAAUGCAUGUAAUGAAAGCGUGCAUGGAUUUGCUAAAGGCACUAAACCAACAUAUGUUGAUGAAGUUUUUGCAUGAUUUUGACUUAAGUUUCGAAACACGAAAUCUUCUAUAUCAGUUGCAUAUUUUUGGUGGUCUAAAUUAUGCUUUAAAUGAAAGAUUUAGCUUAAUGUAUUAUGACUAAGAAAUCAUAACUUGCAAGUCUUGGUAUGACGAUGCCAAUUCAGACCAAUGCCAUAUCAGACUUAGACUAAUAGACAUUUCAGACUAUCAUGAUUUUAGACAUUCAGAAUGUUGUGUGUACAGAAAAGGUUAAAAAUGGGCAUACAGAUAUGUUAGGUGGUUCCCUAAAGAGGGCUUGAGUUCAAGCAACUCAUUGCCUAAAAUCGUGGUUUGCCGACUCGAGUAUAUUAUUAUACGCUGACUUAAGUGUCGUGUGGCAUAUCAGAUUCAGGAACUCCAACCCUUGCGGCAUACUUGGGUUGGACGCUUCCCUGCCGAGUCAAUGGUGGAUUCCAUAUCGCCCGUGGAAUAUCAUACUUGCAGGGGAUACCACCUAACUCAGAAGUAAUACAUAGAUCAGAGUUUGAGAUUUACAGACAGGUUACACGUUUUCAAAAGGUGCCCAUGCGUUUUUCAGAAACUAUUUUAUGCAUAAUAUUUGAUGAACAUUUGCUCUGACGUAUGAUAUAUAUAUAUAUAUAUAUGUUUAAUUACUCUAUUUUGGAUUGCUUCGCAUACCAGUACUUUUGUGUUGACCCCCCUCCCCCCUCCAAUCUCUCAGGUUCUAAGGCUCAAUCUGGGGGUCAGAUAAGCAGUAGAUAGUCAGACUUGCAGAUCAGACUGUGUAGUGGUGAGCCUUCUUUACUCCAAAAGGCAUGCAGAUUGUUCAGAGUAUUAUUAGUAGUUAUAUUUUGGUCUACUGGGGGCCUUAUCCCAGUUUAUUUUCAAACAACUGCUUAUGUUCUUAGUAGAGAUUUCGCAGACUGAUGUCAGAUAUUACUAUUUUAGAUUUGACCAUGUUUUCGUAAUAUUAUUUAUCUUUCGUAUUUAUUUAUCAUAUGAAUUAUGUGCAUGAUUACCAGAUAGACAGAGGGCGUUCUGGGACUUUGGGUUCUGAAAUGCUCAUCACGGCCAGAGCCCUGGUUUGGGUCGUGACAAACUUGGUAUCAAAGCAUGGUUCAUGGUCCCAGGGUAUCUACGAAAUCGCAUCGGGUAGAGUCUUGUUUAUGCGUAUGUGGCGCGCCACACUUAUAAGCGGGAGGCUACUAGGCAUUUAGGAAUGUCUCUCUUUCUUUAUGUUCUAGUUCGUGCUAUAAAGUCAGAAUGUUCCUCCUUCAUACUCUGAUUCAUGCUAUGGUGUCACCCAUACGAAAAGAAAAGUUAUCCUAAUUUCUUCCUCACUCUGGUGUUCCAGAUAUUCUCCGAUUAUCUAGCAUAAACUUUAGAAGUCCCACAAAGGACGAGAGAGAAGUUCCCUAGUGUAAAAUUAUGUCAUCGUUCUUAUGAGGCGUUCAGUUAAGACAAGAGUAAGAUGUGUAUUCUUGAGUCAUUGAAUAUUGUGUAUCAAGCUUCUAUCUCUUGCAAUCUUGAUAUCAUUGUGUUGUUGAAAACAAAAGUCAAGUGAAGCCGUGUGAGGCCUAUUUUGAUUCACUAGCANNNNNNNNNNNNNNNNNNNNNNNNNNNNNNNNNNNNNNNNNNNNNNNNNNNNNNNNNNNNNNNNNNNNNNNNNNNNNNNNNNNNNNNNNNNNNNNNNNNNNNNNNNNNNNNNNNNNNNNNNNNNNNNNNNNNNNNNNNNNNNNNNNNNNNNNNNNNNNNNNNNNNNNNNNNNNNNNNNNNNNNNNNNNNNNNNNNNNNNNNNNNNNNNNNNNNNNNNNNNNNNNNNNNNNNNNNNNNNNNNNNNNNNNNNNNNNNNNNNNNNNNNNNNNNNNNNNNNNNNNNNNNNNNNNNNNNNNNNNNNNNNNNNNNNNNNNNNNNNNNNNNNNNNNNNNNNNNNNNNNNNNNNNNNNNNNNNNNNNNNNNNNNNNNNNNNNNNNNNNNNNNNNNNNNNNNNNNNNNNNNNNNNNNNNNNNNNNNNNNNNNNNNNNNNNNNNNNNNNNNNNNNNNNNNNNNNNNNNNNNNNNNNNNNNNNNNNNNNNNNNNNNNNNNNNNNNNNNNNNNNNNNNNNNNNNNNNNNNNNNNNNNNNNNNNNNNNNNNNNNNNNNNNNNNNNNNNNNNNNNNUUAAGGUGGUUAUAGAAACCCCUUAUAGGCUAUGAAUGAAAAUGGCUAGAUUAGCCAGUAGGGUGUAAGUAUAGACUCAUUGUCAUAUGGGGUAUUUGAAGGUAGUCUAAAUGCCCAUUGGGGUAAGUAAGUGUGAUGUGAGAAAACCGUAUAAGUAGAUAAUAUUGUAUGGUUAUACUAUAAGCUUAAGGUUGAUCAUGUCUAUUAUGUGACCUUACCCCUUGACCUUUUUCUCAUUGGUAGUGUAAACUAAUACUGCUUGUGAGAAAGUAUGUAGUAGAUUUUUGAAGUAUUUGGGUAGAAUAUCCCAAUUUGAAGGAUUAUUAUAUUUAUAUUAUGUUGCACUCUUCAUUGGUGGUAAAUGAUUGAUGCUAGACUAUAGGCUUGAAUUUAAAUGGUGUNNNNNNNNNNNNNNNNNNNNNNNNNNNNNNNNNNNNNNNNNNNNNNNNNNNNNNNNNNNNNNNNNNNNNNNNNNNNNNNNNNNNNNNNNNNNNNNNNNNNNNNNNNNNNNNNNNNNNNNNNNNNNNNNNNNNNNNNNNNNNNNNNNNNNNNNNNNNNNNNNNNNNNNNNNNNNNNNNNNNNNNNNNNNNNNNNNNNNNNNNNNNNNNNNNNNNNNNNNNNNNNNNNNNNNNNNNNNNNNNNNNNNNNNNNNNNNNNNNNNNNNNNNNNNNNNNNNNNNNNNNNNNNNNNNNNNNNNNNNNNNNNNNNNNNNNNNNNNNNNNNNNNNNNNNNNNNNNNNNNNNNNNNNNNNNNNNNNNNNNNNNNNNNNNNNNNNNNNNNNNNNNNUGUAGUAUUUUUCUAAGGCUAUUACAUGUUGUGUGUGGCUACUGGUCCCGUUGAGUUGCUAGGUGGAAAAAGACUAGAUAGAUGGUAUAUGGUGUUCUAAAUAGCCAAGUUAAGGACCUUUGAUUGAUAGCGUUGAGCCUUUUGAUAUGAACUUGACUCUCAUGGUAGAGAAAAAUAAGUUUGAAGUUGCUAUAUUGGUAGACUACGAUAGAAAUAAAGUGGCUCAUUGAAGACUUGGUGAUACCCAUGUUAGGUGUUAUAAUCUAAGUUCGAGUCCUUGAAAGUCAUGCUAAUAGAAAUAAGAGUAGAGACACUAGAGGGUGUGCACUUCAACUUUGGGGAUACUCAUGAAGAUUCGAAGUUAGUAAGUGUUCGAGUAAUGGAUGAUGACUAUUGGGGUUACAGAAUGAUAGAGUGUGCCUCAGGAGGUAGUAUUAGCAGUGGGCGUUCCACUCCCAUAUGUGGUCUUUCGGGUUAAGUUUUAUUAAUUUUGUGUAUUGUCAUAUUUUAGAACCCAGAGUGCAGUGAGUACAGUUAUGUUUAAAGUCUAGUAAGGUAUCUCCUAAAAACUUAAGAUGAUGGCUUGAAACUAAGUGGGAGAUGACUAAACGAAUAACAAGUAAGACUCUCAGAUUCUUGUAGUGAUGUCAUGAUGAUAUAGAACAUCAAAAAGUAAGGGUGAAUCUCAACCCAUUCCUAUAUCAGUAUUUCUCAGUGAUCCUAAUACCUACUCAUGCUUUACGAUUUAGUUCCAUGAUUAGUUCACGUUCAUACAUAUGAUAGAGAGUCAUGUACUCACGCUUUAUAAUGUGCUCCAUUUCCAUAACUCAUGUUUUACGCCAAAUGAUUUGCGAGAUUCAGCUUAUAGCUAUGAAUACCCUCAAUUCAGAGCGCUUUGGUGAGUCCCUGUUGUUGUUUUGCUAUUCCUCAGGCCUCAGAUGAGUGUCAAGCUUCAUAUAGCAUCAUUCCAUGCCUCCAGAUCUUAUGUUUUAACCUUUUUGUGACUCCUCCUUAUGCGAUGAUAGUGGUGGUGAGUAAUUAUUCCUUGUUGAUGGAAGAUGAUAGUACGCUUGUUUAUAUAAGGCCAUAAGUAUGAAGUAAGAUUUGGGGCCAAGUUUUUACUUAUAUAAUUGUUAGUGGAAUUUUGUAUGUGUAUGUUCUUGGGGUAGCUCGUGGGAGUGAUAUUGAUAGUGGUUUAGAGAAUAUGUGAAGUAUGCCUUUGUGAGUGUUUUCUUUGAAGUUCAUUUGUGGUUAUAAAGAUAGGCUUGAAUGACAUGUUGAGGUUGUUGUAAAGGAAUGCUAUAUGCGCUAGCGACUUCCUAGUAAAAGUUCAGAGUAGUCAUUAAAGUGGUAAGGCAUGUUAUACUUACGAUGUGAUCUUUAAAGGAGAUAUAGAAGAUUGCAUCAUAUGGUUUAGAAUAAUAGCGUGGUCUGGCAUGUUGUAUUUUUGUAACUUAGAGUUAGGUUUGAUCAUGGCGAAGGGAUUAAGUUAUUUUCGACAUUAGUAAAGAGAUUUGUAAAUGCUCAUAUGAGAAUUUUAAGCUGAGUUGAAUGAAUAUGAUAUUUAAGGAGAAUAGUAUAGUUAAGUGAUAUUCGAGAAGUGUGCUAAGCUUGAAAGUAAGAAGUUGUAAUGCCAAAGGCCUGGUAAUUCUAUCCUAAUUCAGGAGUUAUAUGCCUAUGUUCUAGACUGCAGAGUAGUGUCAAUGUGGUGAUUCCUCAGUUGGAUGUCUUGUGUAAUCCAUACCCAAGAUUCAUGGCUCCCUAUUACUGCUAGAAUUUCUUUAGAGAAUUGUGCUGAAGAGAUACUCCAGUUAAGUAUGAGGGUGUAGUAUAAUUUAGUCUCUAUGGCCAAUAAGUCAGUUUAGCAGUCAGAUUUGCAUGACUUGUUUUCUCGUCUUUGCACUUAUUCAUGCUACUCGAAAUCUCAGAUAUGCUACUAUUUCAAGAUAGAGUAUAUUAGUAGUUACGAGUAUAGCCCAUUUCAUGCAUCAUGCAUUAAAUUCAGAUUUCAGAGGUUCAGUUAUGAUUCAUUUCGUAGGUGCCCUGUGCAUCGCCUCAGUUUUCUGAGUACCUUAGUGGAUUGAGCAUUCAUAGAGGGACAUAGGGUACUAAAGGGAAGAUACCCCAUUCAGUUGCACGCAUAGAUUCUUAUUACGAGCUUCACAUCAGUUAUUAUUGCGUAUUUAGCCAUACGUUCGUACAUCAGUUCAGCCAGAUAUGCAUGUAUUAGAAAUGCAUGUUCAAUAGAAAAGUUCAGGUUAUCAGUGUAUUCAGUCCUGCAUUCAUGAGAACAACUCGGUCACAGAUCCAUGCAUCAGAUAUGCAUGAUUCAUUCUGAGAAUUCAACCUAUGAGUAGCUUCAGUCGUGUAUUCCAUGCCUCGGAUAUGCAUGUCCGACAUAAGCAUUUAAAACAUCAGUAGUUCCAAUCUUAUAGUCAUGUUUUCGAUCAGUGUAUUCUUUGUUAGGGAAUAUAUCAUGUCCGCGUUAUACCAUACCCUUAAGACUUUGACAUUCUAUCCAUCAUUCGGGGUAGAAAGAUCCCAAGGGGGAGAUAAUGUAACACUCCGCAUUUCGGGAUAGAAUAAAAACCAUGACUCUGAUGCGUUGAUAAUCCCAGAGCCUUAAAUACUAUGUCAAUUUGGCAUGUUUAUGUAGUAUGUGAAUCCAUUUGAGCAUGAAUUUAGACCGUAGAGGUCCUUCAACUCAAGGAUGAGUUGAAACUAUUUCGAUCGAUUAAGUUUUAGUGGAUGUUGUAAUUAGUGUCAGCUUCCAUCAACCAUAACUCUUUUUAUAUGUUGAAUUAGAGAGCCUACUAUGUGUCAAAUGAUAGGUCUUCGAGUUAACUUUCCAACGAUACCAAUUUUGCUAAAAUCUAACACCUGAGCAAGAAGUUAUGGCCUUUUAAAGUAGUAUGCGUCACCUAACCAAUUGCACAUGGCCACUGGAAAGCAUAUGCGAUAGCAUAUGCAGCGCCUAUGUAAAUAUAGGUGAUAUCAUAUGCGGCNNNNNNNNNNNNNNNNNNNNNNNNNNNNNNNNNNNNNNNNNNNNNNNNNNNNNNNNNNNNNNNNNNNNNNNNNNNNNNNNNNNNNNNNNNNNNNNNNNNNNNNNNNNNNNNNNNNNNNNNNNNNNNNNNNNNNNNNNNNNNNNNNNNNNNNNNNNNNNNNNNNNNNNNNNNNNNNNNNNNNNNNNNNNNNNNNNNNNNNNNNNNNNNNNNNNNNNNNNNNNNNNNNNNNNNNNNNNNNNNNNNNNNNNNNNNNNNNNNNNNNNNNNNNNNNNNNNNNNNNNNNNNNNNNCCAAUCCACAGGCUUCAAGAAGCACCCAUUAUUUUUCAAAAUAAAAGUACGCGGGAUUUUUCUAAAUUCUCAUGGGCAUAGAAAAAUCAUGUUUUAGAAUGGGGUUUUUGAAUCUAUGUAUAUAUUCAUGUAUUAAAUGUUUUAACAUCAUAGUUUUGGUCUUUUGACCUUUCCCAAAGUGAUUUGAGAAUAUGAAUGUAUGAAACCAAGUAUUUAAGAAUGAAUUCUUGUUGAGAGCAUGAUAUUUGGUGAAUUCCCUCUUAUUAUGAAUUUUUCAGAUUCUCAUAGCAUAUGAAUUGUUUUGCAAUGCAUCCUUGAAAAGCACUAUAUGAAAUGAUUGAACUCUUGUUAUGAUUUAAAGGUGGUUUUAAAUCACUAAAGAGGGAACCUAGCAUGAAUGUUUAAUGAUCAUAAUGCAUGUAAUGAAAGAGUUCAUAGAUUUGCUAAAGGCACUAGACCACCAUAUGUUGAUGAAGUUUUUCCAUGAUGUUGACUUGGGUUUCGAAACACGAAAUAUUCUAUAUCAGUUGCAUGUUUUUGGUGGUCUAAAUUAUGCUUUAAAUGAAAGAUUUAGCUUAAUGUAUUAUUUUUCAGAAAUCAUGACUUACAAGUCCUGGUAUGACGAUACCAAUUCAGACCAAUGCCAUAUCAGACUCAGAAUAAUAGACAUUUCAGACUAUCAUGCUUUUAGACAUUCAGAAUAUUGUAUGUACAGAAAAGGUUAAAAAUGGGCAUACAAAGAUGUUAGGUGGUUCCCUGAAGAGGGCUUGAGUUCAAGCAACUCAUUUCCUAAAACCUUGGUUUGCCGACCCGAGUAUAUUAUUAAACGCUGACUUAAGUGUCGUGUGGCAUAUCAGAUUCAGGAACUCCAACUCUUUCGGCAUACUCGGGUUGGAGGCUUCCCCACCGAGUCAAUGGAGGAUUCCAUAUCGCCCGUGGAAUAUCAUACUUGUAGGGGAUACCACCUAACUCAGAAGUAAUACACAGAUAAGAGUUUGAGAUUUACAGACAGGUUGCAUGUUUUCAGAAGGUACCCAUAUGUUUUUCAUAAACUGUUUUAUGCAUAAUGUUUGGUGAACAUUUGCUCUCACGUAUUAUAUAAAUAUAUAUAUAUGUUCAAUUACUCUAUUUUGGAUUGCUUUGCAUACCAGUACUUUUGUGCUGACCCCAUCCCCCCUCCAAGCUCUCAGGUUCUGAGGCUCUGUAUAGGGGUCCAGAUAAGCAGUAGAUAGUCAGACUUGUUGAUCAGACUGUGCAGUGGUGAGCCUUCUUUACUCCAGAAGGCCUGCAGAUUGUUCAGAGUAUUAUUAGUAGUUAUAUUUUGGUCUACUGGGGGUCUUGUCCCAUUUUUUUUCAGACAGCUGCUUAUGUUCUUAGUAGAGAUUUCGCAGACUGAUGUUAGAUAUUACUAUUUCAGAUUUGACCAUGUUUCCAUAACAUUAUUUAUCUUCCGUAUUUCUUUAUCAUAUGAAUUAUGUGCAUGAUUACCAGAUAGACAGAGGGCGUUUCGGGCCUUUGGGUUUAGGAAUGCUCGUCACGGCCAAGGCCCCGGUUCAGGUCGUGACACAAAGUCUGCAGAUCCCGAUCACACAAUCACCUAUAAUACCGAGCAAACUAUGCUACUCGGCUUUCAACUCAAGAGGCUCCUUGGAUUUUUGAUACUGGCGCCACUCAUCAUAUGGCCGCAGAUGUUCAAAACUUCACUGAUGAGCAAAACUACCACAGUCCAGAGGAGAUAGAAAUGGGAGAUGGUAGCAGCAUUCCAAUAUCUCAUAUCGGUAACACCAACAUAAGUGCAUUAAUUAUCAAUUUAAUCUUCUCAAUACCUUAUGCUCUCAUGAUAUAAAAAAUAACCUUAUUUCUAUUUCUAAAUUUUGUUGUGAUAACCACACCUCCAUUGAAUUUUUUCCUUUUUCUUAUCUUGUGAAGGAUCUGAGUACGGGGACGCCUCUAUUUUGCUGGUAGAAUAGAGAUGGGUUGUAUGAGUGGCGGUCGGGUAGUGAGCACCAUUCACUACAAUGCAAUGUUGUCAUUCCUUUACACCUAUGGCAUCGGUGUUUAGGUCAUCCUAGUAUCGUAUUUUAAAUAGGAUUUUGCAUCAGUUCUCUCUUCCAGUUUCACAUUCUAGAACCAAUUCAGUUUGUAAUUCGUGUUAUUCUAAUAAAAUGCACAGGUUACCUUUUCUGAAAAUUCAUUGCAAAGUAAACGACCAUUGCAAAUUAUUUAUAGAGAUUUAUGGGGGCCCUCUCCUAUUUUGUCAAUCGAUAACAAGCGAUAUUAUGUCUUAUUUGUUGACCAUUACUCGAAAUACAUGUGGUUGUUCACUAUAAAAUCAAAAAAGGAAGUUCUUGAUGUCUUUCAAGCUUUACAUCCCUUGAGCGACGGUUUCAAAACAAAAUUUUGUCUUUCUAUACAGACAGUGGUGGUGAAUUUCAAGGUUUAUCAUCAUACCUCAAAAGUCAUUGUAUUGAACACUUAGUGACCCCUCCUUACACACCCCAAAGAGUCGCACUAGUUAAAUGCCAUCACAGGCACGUUAUUGAGACAGCCAAAACCUUGCUGCACCAAGCCUCAUUGCCCCCGAUUUUUUGGAUUUUUGCCUGUCACCAAGCAGUUUACCUUAUAAAUAGUCUAACAACUCCAAAUUUACAAAAUAAAUGUCCCUAUGAAAUUCUAUUUCAAGAGUCUCCAAAGUAUGAAUCCCUUAGAGUUUUUGGUUGUUUAUGCUACCCAUGGCUCAAACCAUAUGGAAAAAUAAAUUAGAACCAAGAUAUAAUCCCUAUGUGUAUUUAGGAUUUUCUAAUAAACAUUAUUGCCACCGAUGUUUUGAUCCCGUCAGGAAUAAAUUAUACUUAUCAAGGGGUGUUCUGUUUUUGGAAGAUACCUAUCCUUUUCAGAAUAUGUUUUCCAAUUUAAAACUUAAACAGAGCGAUAAUAUUUCCUGGGAAAUUUGUUCUGAUGUUCAACCUUUGAAUCAUGAACCGUCAAGUUCAGACUCUUGUCAUCCACUCCCAGAUGCUCUGCCCGUGCAGUCUCCACUAUCCAGCUCAACGUCUGCCACACCAGAAGGUGUCUCCGCUACAUCAGGUAAUUCUCAAAAUUUAUAUUCUCCUUUGUUGCCACCUGUAAUUCCACCCCCCCAUGAUAAUACUCAACCACUACCAUCAUCCAAACCAUUAAUCACCUAUCAACGCAAAAAUUGUCCACAACCAAACACCUCAUUGAUGCCACUUCCUUCCAUUGUCCAGUUCCCCAGCCCGCCUUCUCAAUCACCCAAUGACAACCCUUCCCAGAGCACACUUGCUUUGAUUCCGUCCACUCCUUCACCUGUGGUGACCACUUCAACUUAUCCCAUGGUCACACGCUCUAAAACAAAUAACCUCAAACCCAAGCAGUUUAGUGUUAGCGUCCAACUUUCCUUGCCAUUUUUUCCUCAUACAUAUAAACAAGCAUGUCCUCACCCUCACUGGAGAGAAGCCAUGAAAGCUGAAUUUGAUGCCCUUGUUAGGAAUCAUACAUGGGAUUUGGUUCCAGCUGCUCCUUCGAUGAAUGUGGUUGACUGAAAGUGGUUGUUUCAUAUAAAACAUAAAUCUUAUGGUUCCAUUGACAGGUACAAAGCUCGGCUUGUUGUAAAGGGAUUUACCCAGCAUCCGGGAUUAGACUGUGAUUCAAAUUUUAGCCCGGUAGUCAAACCAGUAACUGUUCUGUUGGUGCUUACUAUUGUGACACAGUACAACUGGCCUAUCCAUUAGAUUGAUGUAAAUAAUGCCUUCCUACAAAGAUGUAUUGAGGAAGAAGUGUAUAUGAGGCAGCCACCGGGCUUUGAAGAUCGAAGCCUCUCCAUCCAUGUCCGUAAGCUGAACAAAGCAAUCUAUGGAUUGAAACAAGCUCCCUGAGCAUAGUACACCGAGUUCAAAAAUUAUUUUUUAACUGUUGGGUUUGCCAAGUCUCAAUCUGACUCUUCUUUAUUUAUUUUGCAUAAAUUUGGGAUCACUGUCUAUUUUCUUAUCUAUGUGGAUGAUAUAAUUAUCACUGGAAAUCAGAUUUGGGGGUUCGUCAUGUAAUAGUUGGUCUUUCCAAUCUCUUCUCUUUGAAAGACCUUGGACAACUCCAUUACUUUUUGGGUGUUGAGGUUAUCUCUUCUACUGAUGGUCUUUUUUUUAUCUCAGCACAAGUAUAUUAUGGAUCUUUUACAUGACGUUGGCAUGAUAGGUUUUAAAGGAGCCCCUACACCUAUGACUUCAACUGCCACUUUGACAGCUUCGGUGAAUGAUCCUCCAACUGAUGGUAAUAUUUAUCGAUGGGUAAUUGGAAAGUUGCACUACUUAUCCUUUAUACGUCCUAAUAUUGCCUUCACAGUUAGCAAGUUUUCUCAAUUUAUGCACAAUCCACGUCACUGUCACUGGAAAGCAGUCAAGGGAUUACUUUAUUAUCUUUAUCACACCUGCCAAUAUGGUAUACGGAUCACAAAAGCUCCAGAUUCUCAUCUGGUUGUUUAUUUUGAUUCGGAUUGGGCUGGCGAUUCGAAAGAUCGUACCUCUCUAGAUGGAUAUGGUAUUUUCAUGGGCAGCACACCAAUUUCCUGGUCCUCAAAGAAACAACGCUCAGUCUCUCGAUCCUCUACAGAAGCUGAGUACAGAGGUGUGGCUGCUGCUGUUCCAGAAACCAACUGGCUCACAAAUCUUCUUCGUGAAAUUUGUCUUUCACUUAAGGGGGUUCCGCAGGUUUUCUGUGACAACAUAAGCACCACUUACAUUUGUUCCAAUCCAGUUUUCCAAAGUAGGAUGAAGCAUGUAGCCAUUGAUUUUCACUUUGUUCGUGAACAAGUCCAGAACAAAGAUAUUGAAGUACAUCAUGUUCACUCAGCUGAUCAAGUGGCUGACAUACUCACAAAACCACUUACCAAAGCCACUUUUGUACAGCAAUUUUCCAAGUUGGGUGUUGUUGACACCACUAACUUGCGGGGGCGUAAUAAAGGAUAAAAUCAACUCCUAUUUUUUAAAUUUCAAAUUUAGUAGUUCCUUCUCUUUAGGACUCUUGUAUAUAGAUAAGUAUUAUCCUUUUCUUAGUUUAUCUCUUUGUUGUAUUGUAUUUAUAUAUACUCAGACUACAAUCAAUGAGAAGUAUCGUUCCUUUCAUUCCAUUAACAAUCUUAUACUUCAUAUCUAUUACCCGAACCUAAUUUUAGCAUAUUUUUGUCACUCCUUUUGUACUGACGUGGCACCUUUAUUAGAUAAAAUGGAGCCCACUUCAAAGGUGCUACAUCAUCGAUAAAGCCUGCCAAAAGGUGUCAGUCAGCUAACAAGGUUCACAAAAAUACGCUAAAAUUUAGUUCAAGGGGUAAUAGGACUCCUGUGAGGUUGGAGUGUGUUGUAGCAAAUUCGUUCAUAGCUCAGGUGGUACUAGAUAUUUUACUCUUAAGCAAACUCUCAAUACUUUGUUCACAUUAUAUUAUUUCCUUCGUUUCAUUUUGUUUGACACUAUUUUCUUAUUACAUCGUCAAAAUAAUAUUAACAUUCUUAUAAUUUAUUAAUUAAAAGCAUUUAUAUUCAAACAAAUAUUAUGACAUGUGUUAGAGUUUGUGACCCGAAUUUUAUUGAUCCAGACCUGAAAAGUUCAUGGUGCAAUCCAUGUUUGAGAUUUUUUGGGGGGUCUGUGGUGGUAGCGGAGGGAUUGAGCCGAUAGUGAGUUAUUUUUGGGCUUAGUAUUUAUUUGUACGCACGUAUUAUAUAAGUCCGUUUAGUGGAUUGUUUUUGGUGGUUUUUGAUAUACGUCAUUGACACUUUUGUCUCCUCCUUGUAUUCCUCUCCAUUAUAGUGAAUUUCCUCCUCCUCUGCCCAUGGUUUUUCCCGUCAAGGGUUUCCACGUAAAAUUUGUGUGUUCUUGUUUUCUUUUGUUUGUGGUAUUGCUUAUUCCUGUCCAUUCAAUAACAACAUGUUUAUUGUUAGGACCCAAAUAAUCAGUCUUUAUGCGGAUACUAACCAAGAAAACCUCGAAAGAUGCUAAAGUAUAUAAAGGAAAAAGAACACAAGGCAAUCAAACUUCUGAAUUUGUUAUAAUCUUACCUUUUGACAACUUAAUGUUCAGCAAACCAUGAUUAAUAGAACACCUCUUGUUUCAGAAAUAGUAAGUUUGAAAGAAAUUGGCUAAACAAGUAUUUUGAAAGUUCACCAACAGACAGAAGAAUGAAAUUCCAAGAUAAUCAGGACAGUAUGGGAUUCAAUUUCAAUGUGGCCUUACCUGUCUGCCAUUUUUCACAGUGAUUUGAUUAAUGGAAUCCAAGGAUGCAUACAGUAUAAAGAUUCAGCGAAGGAGAUCAAAAGGAUAAUUUUAUUAACUCUGGCAGCAAGCUUUUAAAUACACAAUAUACAACUAACUGGACCUAAAGUGCAGGCCACUAUCUGCACAUUAUCUAUAGCUAACUAACUAAAGCUAACUAUUCCUAAAUAUGCUCCAAACAUCAGAGACUUAGUCAAAUUGUAAAAACUAGUAACAAGAGAUAAAUAAAGAUAGUUAAUACACCCCCUCAAGUUAGGUAAGGUGAAACAAUGCCUAACUUGGAACGACACCUAAUAAAGGCUGAUCUAGGCAGUGGCUUGGUGAAGGUAUCAGCAAGUUGAUCACAAGCAUGAGUAUGAGUAACAUUAACUAAAUGAGCAUGAACCUGAUCACAGCCAUAUGCAAAAUCUACGGGUAUGGAACACUGGGUUGUGAGAUAGAUAAGUUACUCCAACAUUGUCACAGUAGAUUGUUAGAAUCUUCGGAAUGGUGACAUGUAAUUCAUGAAGUAAGUUUUGCACCCAUGUGAUCUCUGCAAGUGCAUUGGCUACUGAUUUGUACUCUGCCUCAGUGGACGAGCGAGCCACUGCACGUUACUUUAUGGAUGACCAACUAACUGGAUUUGAUCCAAAGAAAAGUAUGUAACCUAAUAUAGAGAUUCUAUCAUUUGGAUUGCCAGUCGGCAUCAGCAUACGUAUACAAAUUGGAGUCAGAGCUACGAAGGAUGCGAAGUCCUGAACUUGCGGUUUCUUUGAGAUACCAUAGGACUAAUUUAACUGCUUUCCAAUGUUCAUCAGUCGAAGUAUGCAUAAAUUGUGACAAUUUAUUGACUGCAUAAGAUAUGUCAGGCUGAGUGAGGGACAGUUACUGCAAUUUGCCAAGGGUACGCCGGUAGCUUGUGGCAUCAGUUGGUGGCGAACCAUCAUCUACUCAAAGGGGUACACUGGAACACAUGGGAGUGGAAACACCUUUACAAUUAUCCAUAGCUAUUUCAGAAAGAAUUUCCAAAAUGUAUUUUGAUUGAGAAAGAAUGAGACCACCUAGUACUUGCUUAACAUCAACACCCAAAAAGUAGUUUAGAUAGCCAAGAUCCUUCAAUGAAAAUCUUUCUGCCAAGGAAAUGAUAACACAUUUAAUCAUGUGUGGAUGGUUUCCAGUGAUUAUGACGUCAUCAACAUAGACAAGAACAUAAAUGGUUACAGCCAAAUGCUUCCAUACAAACAAAGAGGUGUCAGAUUCUAUUCUGACAAAGUUCAGUUUCAGCAGAUGUUCAUGCAGAGCAUUAUACCAAGCCUGGGGAGCUUGUUUGAGGCCAUAGAUAGCCUUCUUCAAUUUGCAGACAUGAGUUGGAAAUUGGGGAUUAAUAAAGCCUCGGGGUUGCGACAUAAAAACUUCUUGAUCCAAUUUUCCUUGUAGGAAAGCAUUAUAAAGUUUAAACUAUUCUUUGCUAGCAAUAACAGGUAAAGAAAAUUUCCCCAAAAUAAAAUUUAGACUUCUAGAGUGGGGAUGACCCAAUCGACAAUGCCAAUGUUGAAGUGGGGCUUUUGUGGAGGCAAGGUGAAUGGAAGGUUUCCUUGAUGGCAAACAUGGACACUCAUACAGUUUAUUUUUGUUCCAACCUUGUACCAGCGGCUUUAGAGUAUGCAAGUCCUUCACAACAAAAGUAAAAGGAAAAAAUUCAAUAGACGUGAGGUUAUCUUGACAAAACUUAGCAAUAGAGAUGAGAUUCUUUUUUAUUAAUGGAGGACAAAGUGUGUCAGAAAGCUUAAAAGCAAAUUUAGAUGCCUGAAUUAGAGUUGAACCAAUAUGAAUGAUGGGAAUGGUUUUACCGUCACCCAUAGAGAUUUCUUCGGUUCCUGUAUACCCUUCAAGGUUGUGAGGUUCGACAGUGACAUGGUGAGUUGCUCCAGUGUCUAAAACCCAAGAGUUUCUAGACGAUUGCUGCCCAGAUGCAAAGUUAGCCUAAGCUUCAAAAUGAUUGUGCAACUUGGAGCGACAAACAUCUGCCGUGUGACCAAACUUUUGGCACAACUUACAUUUGAAAAAUUGCUUGGGUGGUCGCUCAUUUUGCUGAUUGUUGGAAUUUGAUUGCUGAUUGUUAGAAUUCCAUUGUUAAGACUACGAUGUUUCCAUGGCUGAUUGUUGAAGUGAGGAUUGUUCCUAUUGAAUGUGGAUGCGUGUUGGACUUCUAAGCAACAGCAGCUGAGAUCAUAGAUGGUUUUUCCAGAUCUUGAUAUUUUAGAAAAAGCUCAUGAUCUGUGAGCUUGUGAAAUAAUUCUUCAAAGCUCAAAGGAGAGUCUCGUGCUCAUAUCCUAGCAGAGAUUUCACGAUACUCGGGGCCUAGGCCACUUAAAAUUUUGACAAUAAGUUUAACAUCACUGAUAGGUGAACCAGCAACUUUAAGAGCAUCAGAGAGGGAACAAACCUCCUAUAAGUAUUCUGCAAUGGUUUUGGAAGUCUUCUUGGUGUUCUGCAGUUGAUCUCGCAAGCUGAAGAUGUAAGUAUGGCAUUUGUUGGCGUAGGUUGUGUGAAGGAGUUCUCACGCUUUGUUAGCAGAUGGUGCUGCUGCAAUAGUUAGAGCAAUUGUAGGAUUGACUGAUGUCAUCAUUGCUUGUUAGGUCAAUUGAUCCUGGGAGAACCAGAUCUGAUAACUGGGAUUUAGUACAGUAAGACCAUUUUAGGUAAUAGUAGGUGAUGGAGCAAUUGUGGUUCCAUCAAGAUGUCCCAUGAGUUGAUGCCCAUUUAGUAGCAUUACAAGUUGUGCUUUCCAUGUUGAGAAGUUGAGAUUACCUUGUAGUUUAAUAGGUAAUUGAGCAAUGGGAUUAAAUUGUACCACAUGAGUAGUGGUAGAAACUCCAUAACCACUGGCAUUAACAGCAUCAUUUACUUGAGCCAUAGAUGAGAAAGAUUAAGGAGAAUGAAAUCGAUCUGACUUGGUGGAGCUUAUGGGUGUCUGAUACCAUAUAAAGAUUCAUAGAAGGAGAUCAAAAGGAUAAUUUUAUUAACUCUAGCAGCAAGCUUUUAAAUACACAAUAUACAACUAACUGGACCUAAAGUGAAGGCCACUAUCUGCUCAUUAUCUACAGCUAACUAACUAAAGCUAAUUAUUCCUAAAUAUGCUCCAAACAUCAGAGACUUAGUCAAUUUGUAACAACUAGUAACAAGAGGUAAAUAAAGAUAGUUAAUAUACAGGAUUUUGUAUGGGCCGUUACCUGUCUGCCACUUUUCACAGUGAUUGAUUGUAAAAUUGUGUAUUUAUAAAAAAAGUGUGAAACAAAGAAAUCAACAAAUGAAAUUGUGUAGUUAUCAAAGUUUCUAAGUUUUCUAACGAGGUAAGGCACAAAUAUACCCCUAAACUAUACCUGAAGUUCCUAUUACCUCUUAAACUCAUUUUUUUCUAAUUAGCUUAAGAUUGAUGUCGCGAUGAAACAUGAUCGUAUCAUAUACUCAUUGCUACAUAAUAUUCACAAAUAGUUCUUAGUGGUUGUUCCUAUUCACUUUGGUGGCACGUUGGAGGAUCUAUACAAGACAUAGUUUGUUCAAUUGGAAUAUUAAUACUACUACUGAAUGUCCGCUAUGAGAGGUUGCUGAUGAAAUGUUGAGCAUCUAUUUUUUAGGUGUCCAUACUCAGCGGACAUAUGGCGCAGGCCCCUUCUUUGGUUAAAUAUUAACAAACAGGCAAUAGUGGUUAAUACUGGUGGUAAUUGACGUUGGCAAUUGAUUCAAAUGUGUGAAUUUUAAUACAAUUCCAAAAGAAAACUACAAUUGAAUUCUCCUCAGUUGAAUGAAGGAGAUCCAAUGAUCAUUAGAUACAGCAUCCCUCAACUUUAAAAUGCUUAUCGAUGGACGAUACUUGGUGCACAUAAAUUCCACCACCCUGCAUCACCAAUAGUUGCAGUGAACGUGCAUGGUCAAGGGAGAAAUUAAUGGUGUAUGAGAUUCAAAAGCCUUCUUCAAUGACCUUUAGCUACCAUGUUCCAUCGACUACAACCAGCACGCUAAACCUACAAAAGAGGCUCGAGCAAAAAAGUGUGGAGAAAGAUCAACGUAGAACUGAUAACUGCAGUUCUCCUAUGCAGAACAAUGGAUCAAUACCCGGUUCUAUAUAAAGUUGAUGCUGCUGCAUCUUCAUCAACGGUCCAAGUAGAAUCAGUCAUGCCGAACCUCCGUCCUGUAUAUGAAGAGUUCUCGACUGGGAAACUUUAUGGUCUCAUGUACGGAUUACCCUAACCCUUGGAAACCUCUGAACUAGCAGUAAACAUGUGCCAUAACUUACUAAACAAGCAGACAUCCAAAGAUACUGCAUAGUCUCCAGCCUUGCAGCAUUGACCAACAGCCUUGUCACUGAAGGAACAGUCUCUAAUCUCCAAGGAGAGGACAUUGUGGAGGCCUAGAUCACUAUUACCCAUCAAGAUGUCCCAUGAGUUGAUGCCCAUUUAGUAGCAUUACAAGUUGUGCUUUCCAUGUUGAGAAGUUGAGAUUACCUUGUAGUUUAAUAGGUAACUGAGCAAUGGGAUUAAAUUGUACCACAUGAGUAGUGGUAGAAACUCCAUAACCACUGGCAUUAACAACAUCAUUUACUUGAGCCAUAGAUGAGAAAGAUUAAGGAGAAUGAAAUCGAUCUGUCUUGGUGGAGCUUAUGGGUGUCUGAUACCAUAUAAAGAUUCAUAGAAGGAGAUCAAAAGGAUAAUUUUAUUAACUCUAGCAGCAAGCUUUUAAAUACACAAUAUACAACUAACUGGACCUAAAGUGAAGGCCACUAUCUGCUCAUUAUCUACAGCUAACUAACUAAAGCUAAUUAUUCCUAAAUAUGCUCCAAACAUCAGAGACUUAGUCAAUUUGUAACAACUAGUAACAAGAGGUAAAUAAAGAUAGUUAAUAUACAGGAUUUUGUAUGGGCCGUUACCUGUCUGCCACUUUUCACAGUGAUUGAUUGUAAAAUUGUGUAUUUAUAAAAAAAGUGUGAAACAAAGAAAUCAACAAAUGAAAUUGUGUAGUUAUCAAAGUUUCUAAGUUUUCUAACGAGGUAAGGCACAAAUAUACCCCUAAACUAUACCUGAAGUUCCUAUUACCUCUUAAACUCAUUUUUUUCUAAUUAGCUUAAGAUUGAUGUCGCGAUGAAACAUGAUCGUAUCAUAUACUCAUUGCUACAUAAUAUUCACAAAUAGUUCUUAGUGGUUGUUCCUAUUCACUUUGGUGGCACGUUGGAGGAUCUAUACAAGACAUAGUUUGUUCAAUUGGAAUAUUAAUACUACUACUGAAUGUCCGCUAUGAGAGGUUGCUGAUGAAAUGUUGAGCAUCUAUUUUUUAGGUGUCCAUACUCAGCGGACAUAUGGCGCAGGCCCCUUCUUUGGUUAAAUAUUAACAAACAGGCAAUAGUGGUUAAUACUGGUGGUAAUUGACGUUGGCAAUUGAUUCAAAUGUGUGAAUUUUAAUACAAUUCCAAAAGAAAACUACAAUUGAAUUCUCCUCAGUUGAAUGAAGGAGAUCCAAUGAUCAUUAGAUACAGCAUCCCUCAACUUUAAAAUGCUUAUCGAUGGACGAUACUUGGUGCACAUAAAUUCCACCACCCUGCAUCACCAAUAGUUGCAGUGAACGUGCAUGGUCAAGGGAGAAAUUAAUGGUGUAUGAGAUUCAAAAGCCUUCUUCAAUGACCUUUAGCUACCAUGUUCCAUCGACUACAACCAGCACGCUAAACCUACAAAAGAGGCUCGAGCAAAAAAGUGUGGAGAAAGAUCAACGUAGAACUGAUAACUGCAGUUCUCCUAUGCAGAACAAUGGAUCAAUACCUGGUUCUAUAUAAAGUUGAUGUUGCUGCAUCUUCAUCAACGGUCCAAGUAGAAUCAGUCAUGCCGAACCUCCGUCCUGUAUAUGAAGAGUUCUCGACUGGGAAACUUUAUGGUCUCAUGUACGAAUUACCCUAACCCUUGGAAACCUCUGAACUAGCAGUAAACAUGUGCCAUAACUUACUAAACAAGAAGACAUCCAAAGAUACUGCAUAGUCUCCAGCCUUGCAGCAUUGACCAACAGCCUUGUCACUGAAGGAACAGUCUCUAAUCUCCAAGGAGAGGACAUUGUGGAGGCCUAAAUCACUAUUACCCACCAAAGAUACGAAGAGCAUCUCUAGAUUUUUAGCAUGGGCCCUGAUGUAAUAGAACACGCGAUCUUUAAGGAGGCCAGAAAGGGCCCCAAAACCAGCAUCGAGCGGUCCAAGGGUUAGGUAAUCAGGAUAUUGAGGACUGACUAAACACAAACGAAAUAGGAUCAAGUUAGUACGGUUCCUUGUAAUAGUAACUAAGGAGGAAUUUUUCAUUUUGCGGCAGAAGUAUAGAACUGAGUGGAGCUUAGGAAAGCACACAGAGAUAUGUACAAGGCCUUGCUCUGUCAAGGAUACAUUCGGUUCUUACGCAUAAGUAAAUUCCCUAAGGUCUCAAGGUCCUUACAAUAGGUGGCAAUAUCCUCAAGACCGAUUUCUUCAACAUAACCACGCACCUGCAGUCACAUUCAGAUACAAACUAAGAUUAAAAUAUUUUUCACCUGUAAGGACAAAAGUACUAGAAAAAGGGUAAUCUACAAGGAAAAACAUACUCUCUCCAUUUCUAUGCAUGUGUGUUACCUUACUUUUUAUCCCUUUAAAAAAAAGAGCAUAUCAUUUUGUAUUUAGUAUGAUUUUAAUUCUAGCAUUGUCAUUUUACAUUCAAUGAUACUCCCAUGUCGGAAUGUUGUGGCAGGUCUGAGACCACAAGAUUCCAUUUUAUCACGAGCACAGUUGUUAUAUCUAGUCUCGAAACUAUUAAGAACAUAUAAAUCUAUUGAAAAAGAAACAUCAAGCUAGAACUCAUAAUAUGUGGUACCAUGGCUCAAAAUCAAAGACACGAGGUUGUCGUGGACAUGACAUAUAAGUGAAAAAAUAUGCUGGCACUCAGUGGCGGAGCCAUACUUUUCUUUAAGGGGAUUUAGAAGUAAAUAUAUGGAUUAGUUGAAGGGGGUUCAACAUCUAUAAUACAUACAUAAAAAUAUUUUUGACCAUAUAAAAAUAGUAUAAUUUUUCGACGAAGGAUUUCAGAUGAACCCCCUGAAUUGCAUGUGGCUUCGCCACUACUGACACUGUGUCCCAAAAGCAUAAUGCACAUUUAUCUAAACUCCAUCAGGAUUAACCUGUAUGCCAGUAAAGUAGGCUCCAGUAUCUAUAAAUGUAGAGAAUGAAGAUGAAGUUGUUUGAUUUCAUUGAUAUUUAUGUGUAUAUAUACAAGAGAACACAAACUAAAUAAGGAAAGAAUCAACUAAUAAAGAAUUGUGAUCUUCUCCUAAGUAGAAACUGAAUCACUAUAAGAUACUAAAUCAAUCAUGAGAUAUCUUAACAUGUGGUACAUGCUCUAUUAUGCGCCCCUCAAGUUAGGUGUGACAAGACAACACCUAAUUUGGGUAGCAUCCACUAGAAGGCUAGCUUAGACAAUGGUUUGGUGAGUGGAUCUGCAACUUGAUCAGUGGAGUGGAUGUGUGAUACUCGGACAAGGCCAUUGCGAACUUUAUUGUGAACAAAGUAAAGAUUGAACUUGAGGUGCUUUAUUUUUGUAUGAUGUACCAGGUUUUUAGAAAUGUAUGUGACCCUAAGGUUAUCACAAAGCACUGUAGGUGUAGUAGAGAGUGGCACAUAAAGAUCCCUGAGCAAGUGAGUGGUCCAGUUUAUUUUAGCUAAGGCAGAGGCAACUACCCUAUACUCAGCCUCACUGGAGGAUCAGGAGAUGGUGGGCUGCUUAUGAGAAUUCCAGGAAAUAGGAUUCUUACCUAGAAAAACAAUUUAGCAAGAGAUUUAACAGCAAUCAUUAAUAUCGCCCGCCCAAUCAGCAUCAGCAUAGGCAUAAAGAUCAGUGGACUGAUGUGGAGAAAUAUGAAUACCAUUCUGGGAUAUUUCUUUGAGGUACCCAAGGAUGCGUUUAACAACCUUCUAAUGAACCAUGGAAAGAGAAUUGUUGAGCUGAAUAAGCUUGUUUAUUGAAUAUGUGAUAUCCGAUCUGGUAAAAGAAAGGUACUGAGGUUUACCAAGUACACUCCUAUACUCUUUGCCAUCAGUUUUAGGGACUUUAUCAUCUACAAAUAGUGCCUCAGAUGUACUCAUUAGGGACUGAACGCCUUUGUAGACUUGCAUCUGCGAGUCAUGCAACACCUCUUGAAUAUACUUAGAUUGACUAAAAAAUAGGCCGUUGGCAUGCCUGUGUACCUCAAUGCCCAAGAAAUAGUGCAGUAAGCCAAGAUACUUAAGAGAAAAUCUUUUGGAAAGAGAAGUAAUGACUUUUUGAAGGAGUGAUCAUUGCUGAACAUGAGUAUGACAUCGUCCACAUAUAUUAGUAAAUAAAUAGUUACGCCCAAGUUAUUGUAACACCCCGUACUUUUCCUAGUUUCAUUUAGUGUUGAGAACACCAAGCAUUGUCUUCAAGAGAGAAUGAAUUUUCAUACAUACAUAAUUUUUCAAGUUUUCGACCUUCCAAUGUGUAUAAAAUUGAAUUAGCUUUCCAACAAUAUAAUAUUUUCCUAAAUCCGAUCACCAAGUAAGAAGUUAUGGCCAUUUUAAGUUCCAGUCGCAAAACAUCGUUAUUUCGAUCACUAGCGCGUCGCGGCGAGGGUUUAAAUGUCAAUUGUAUAUUUCCAGUGGACCUCUGCAAUAUUGGUGCAUCACGGAGAGGUCCAAAUUUCCAAUUGUACAAAUCCAAUAGCCCAAGGCAAUACUGGCGUGUCGUGCCAGUGGACAAAAUGGCAAACUAAAGGGCACCGCGAUGGUGGCGCAUCGCGGAGAGAGCCCAGUUCCCACUCUUCCCUUUUCCAGUGAGCCAUCACGAUUAUGGCGCAUCGCGGUGGACACCCAUCUCAGAAAAUAUUAUGUUUUUCCAGUCCGUUUAGUAGUUCAAAGAGGGUAUUUUGCUAAUUUACCCAGCCCCAAUCCAUCCAAUACACAAGAUUAAUUAUAUUCCAAGCACUUUAUGCUCAUUAUUCAUCAUUCUCUACAAAAGAAAAACUCUAGAAACCAAAAGCUCCUUCUCCAAGAAACCUAAUUCCUCCAUUAAUUCUCCAAGGCAAUUCAAGAUUUAGGAUUCCCAACUCAAGAACUCUAAGAAUUCAACUUUAAAAGUAUCAAUAGAGAUCCAAGAUUCAGGUCUUAGCAUCUAGCUCAUCAAUUGAGAUAUGUGGGGUUUUUCAACAAGUAUAAUCCUUUCAUCCUUGUGCCUAAAAAUUAUUUUAAUUGCAAAUUUACUGAAUUUUAUGUGAUUUCCCAUGAAAUUGAAGUUAGGGUUUAUACCCAUUAUUGUUAUUUACAAGCUUAUGAGAUUUCCAAUGAUUUAGAAGUUGAAUUACAUGAUUAUGUUCAUAUUUUCAUACAUAUUGCAGAAUUUUACAGAUUUUGAAUUAAUUUAUCAAUGUUUACAUUAUCAAGCAUGAAUAUUUUGAUGUUAUAAAUGAGUUUGAUGCAUGGGUCACUAAGCCCUAAUUAAAAAUUGCUAUUUCGAGCUUUGUUGUGCUAUAAGCACCCUAUGACUAGAUUUCCUUCAGAUUAUUGAAAAAGAUUUGACCUUUUGGUCUCAGAAUAGAUAUGAAAUCCACUUUACAAUUCAGAUUAAAGAUUUAACUUUACACAUAUACAGUUGGUUUUCAUUAUAAACCAUUAGACUAUUAUAAAAGUGGAUUUCCAUCAGAAUGAGCAUACAGAUUUAAUGGGAGUAGUAUUUAGCACCGAGAUGGGUACGUUACUACGAUUUCAUACCCCAAAACUGCAUGCCAAUAUAGGAUUUAGAUUGUUCCCACUUCUACGUGGAUGAUAGAUAUGUGAUCACUUAGAUAGGUUAUACUCCCUGGCAAGAGUAUGACUCCUCUCCCCAAUGUGAGGAUUCCUCCUUAGGGGGACAAGAACAUUGGACUCCAUGAAUGCUCACAUGGUUUAUGUCGGUUAGAAGAACCUCCCAUGCAGAAUGACUUUUCAGAUUUCACUUAUCCUAUAUGAUUUGAGAAUAAAAACAGAAUACAGAUUUCAAAAUUAAGUGUAAUGGCUCACAAGAUUUACAUUAUAUGCUUUAUUAUUCAUGAUUUAUGAUCUUCAGUUUUCGGAUUACUCAAUCCUAUGUGAGUCAUUUACAUUUAGCAUGCAUGAUUUUAUAAAUUGUGAUGAUGUUGUUUACUUAUUGCAUUCACCCCAUAUGCUCAAUACAUUCUCAAAGUACUGAUCCGCAUAUACAUUUGUGUGCUACAUUGUCUCAUAAUGUAGGUUCAGGUGCUCAGUCUCAGCAGCAUGAGUGAUCUUCGAGCAUCUCCUCUAUAUUUCUGCAGUUGGUGAGUCCUCAUAAUUCGGGGACUUAGCUAUUCAGAUUCCCAGUUUAUUAGUAGAUAAUUUAGUAUUCAUUUCAGACAGUUUUAGUCAACUGGGGCUUGUCCCAGUGACUCCCUAGAUUCAGUCAGUAGAGGCUUGUCGGACUACUAAAUUCAAUUUUAGAUUUUAGUGGCAGUACUCAGAUUUCUAGUAUUUGCUUUAUCAGACUGAUGAGAUUAGUAUUUUCAAAUAUACUCAGAUAUUUCAAAUCAUUUUUUGUAUUUAUUAUGAUUUUACAUUCAUAUCCCCUAUUUUGAAAUUUAGACUUAGUAGAAGGCAGCCAGGGUUAGCUCAGGACUACUUGUAGUUCGGAGCACCGUGUGGCAUCCUGGAAAACCAGAUUUUGGGACUUUAUAGUUAUGCAGAACAAAUAAAGAAUUAUCAGAUUCAGACAUACAGAAUCUGAUUAGAGAAUCAGUGAGUGAAUCAUAACAGGCUUUAGGAGCUUGUCGAAGUCUGUAGAUAGCAUUUUUGAGAUGACAGAUAGAGUCAGGAUAUUCUAAACUUUCAUACCUGGGUGGUUGGGUCAUAUAGAUAUCUUCGUGAAGCUUCCCUUGAAGAAAAGCAUUAUUGACAUCUAUUUGAUGUAAGGGCCAACUUUUUUGUACAGUAAUGGUGAGAAUGGUCCGAAUUAUGUUUGGUUUAACCACUGGGUUGUAUGUUUUAUGAAAAUUAACCUCAGGCAUUUGGGUGAACCCUUUUGCAACCAAAUUUGCUUUAUACCUAUCAAUGGAGUCAUCAGGCUUGGUUUUGAUUCAAAACAACCAUUUACAGGGAACAAUAUUUCUGUUGUGGUCCGGUGGAACCAACUCCCAAGUUUGGUUUUUUAUUAGUGCAUCAUACUCAACCUGCAUAGCAUCUCUCUAAUGUGAUAAUUUUUGUGCUUAUUUGUGGGUUACAGGUAAAAUAGGUAUAAGCUGGGUUAUUUGGGCAGUAUAGUCAACAAUUUUUUGUUGCUUGACAAUGUUAUUUUGCGACCUUGUUUACUCUAUUUAUGGAACUUCAACUAUGGGUGCAGUAGGUGGAGGCGAGUCAAGAGAGCAACUGCUCACACCUCUGUUGGCAUGGAGGGAUCAUGAUGACUUUGGACGACGCUGAUUAACAUAAGUAACUGGUGCUCAGCGAUGUAGAGAGCGAGGAUGCACAUAGAGGGCAGAGGGUUGGCUUUGAAAUAUGAUGUGGGAUGGGAAGUAGUUUGAGGAUUACCUGAUUCUAGAGUGGUGAAAUGAUCUGACUUUGUGUUAUUUCCCUGUGCGAUGCGAACUAAUCAGGUAUGUUGGUGUGCACCUGGCCUAAACGGAAUGGUGGGAGGAAGCGAGGUGAGAUCUAGAUUAAUAGUGGUGGAACUAAUUUCCAUAUCUUUAUUUUUAUGUUGUAAAGUGUUUACCCAAUUUAAAUUUGUAAAUUUUUGUUUAAAGUGAGAAUAAAUAUUAUCAAAUGGAAAAUUUUCUUCUAAAAACUUUACAUCCCGUGAGAGAAAAAUUUUAGAGCUGGUGGGAUCAAAACACUGAUAGCAAUGAUAAGUGACGGAGAAACCGAGAUAAACACAAGGUUUGGAAUAUGGUUCUAAUAUAUUUUGGGUGUAUGGUCGUAACCAUGGGUAUCAUAGAAAUCCAAAUGUGUGGAGAGAUUCAUAAGUAGGUGUUUCGUUGAAAAGAACUUCAAAUGAGGACUUGUUAUCAAGAGUAGAAGUGGGCAGGCAAUUAAUGAGAAAGGUAUCAUGAUGGCAAGCAAAUUUCCAAAAAUUAAAGGGCAAACUUGUUUGAUGAAGCAACGUUUUGACAGUCUCAAUAAGGUGUUAAUGACAUCUUUCAUCUAGGGCUACCCUUUGAGGAGUGUGUUGUGGGGGAGACAAGGUGUUGUAUGCCAUUAGAAUUAAGGUAUGGUUCCAUGACUUUAUAUUCUCCGCCUCCAUCAGUGUAAAGUGUGAGCAUUUUGUGACCAAAAUAUUUUUCAAGCACAAGAUGUAAGCUUUGAAAGUGUUUUUACACUUAAUGUUUGUUUUUUAUUGUGUACAACCAAAUGUAUUUGGUAUAAUGAUCAACAAAUAGACAAUAGUAGAAUUUUUUAUCAAUAGACAGAACAGGGGGUGAACCCCAUGUUAAAUAUUGAUUCAAAGGUCGUUAGUGCUUCCUAGGUAGUUGGCAUUGUAACAGGUUUGUUAGGAAUCCUAGUUUAGUUAAAGCAAAUCUCUGUUAGUUGCUAAGAUUUAGGUUAGUGGAUAAUUAGUGUCGAGUAAGUGGGCAUGUUUAUCAGUAAGUGGUUAGGUUUAUUUUUAUUCCUAUUUAUAGAGUCCUAUGUAACUUGGUUUAAUGGUAUAAAUGAAAAUACAUGAAGUUCUCUGCAACUAUAUUCUUCUUCUUACACAUUGCUCCUCUUUUCUUCAACUCCCCAAUAGUUUUUAGUAUUAAAACGGCAAGAGAGUAUCUUUUUCUAAAUUUUUUCUCUCUAUCCAGGUUAGGUCAAACUGGGAAAUAAGGCAAUUGCAAGAAUAAAAUCAAAAUUGAAGGUAAAGAAUGGCUACCAAUGUAGCAUCUUCCAUAUCUCAGCAACUAAUUCCCAUUAUUAAUGGAGAUAAAUAUGAAUUCUGGAGCAUAAAGUUGAAGACAUUGUUCAAGUCUCAAGAAUUGUGGGAUUUGGUGGAGAAUGGCUAUGCUGAGGAAGAUGAAGCACAAAGGUUGUGGGAGAACAAAAAGAAGGACUCUAAGGCGUUGUUCUACAUCCAGCAAGCUAUGCACGACUCGGUUUUUUCCAGAAUUACUGUUCCAGAAACCUCAAAGCAGGCAUGGCAUAUUAUGAAGAAAGAAUUCCAUGGCUCGACAAAGGUAAUGAUUGUCAAACUCCAGUCACUCCGACAUGAUUUCAAAAAUUCAUUCAUGAAAAGUAGUGAAUCUGUACAAGACUACUUAUCUAGAGUCGGUACAAUUGUUAAUCAUAUGAAGGCAUAUAGUGACAAAAUUACUAAUGAAACUGUAGUUUCUAAAGUUCUAAGAAGUCUUAAUUAAAGAUUUGAUCAUGUCGUAGCUGCCAUUGAGGAAUCCCAUAAUUUAUCUGAUUAUGGUUUUGAUGAAUUGAUGAGUUCCUUACAAGCUCAUGAGGAUAGACUGAAUGCCUCUCAAGAAAAGAGUGAAGAGAAGGCAUUUCAGAUCAAGGGAGAGUCUUUUUUCAAAGGUAAAUCAGAAGUCUCAAAUGCCAGAAGAUGCAUAGGCAGAGUUAGUUUUCGUGGUCGAGGUCAUGGCAGAGGACGAACUCAAUUUAGUGUUGAUCACCGGCAGUUCAAGAGAAAUAUUCAGUACCGCUAUUGCAGAAAAAUGGGGCACAAGGAAGUUGAUUGUUGGACUAAAUAGAAGGAUGAACAACAACAUGCAAAUUUUACUGAGAAACAACAAGGGGAGGGUAAUCUGUUCAUGGCUCACUCCUCAGUAGAUGCUGGUUUGGAUGAAGUUUAGAUCAUUGAUAGUGGUUGCUCCAACCACAUGUCUGGCAGAAGGUCAUUUUUCAAAGAACUUGAUGAAUAGGAGAAGUCAUAAGUUUGGCUUGGGUAUGGCAAGGCAAUGAAAGUCGAAGGGAAGGUAUAAUAAUUGCUCUAAAAACUUCUCAUGGUAAUGUAAAAUUUCUCCAUGAUGUGCAGUAUGUUCCUUGUCUCGCCCAUAACUUUUUGAGUGUUGGCCAACUGAUAACUUGUGGAUACUCUAUUCUGUUUGAUUACAAUUCUUGUAGCAUUCAAGACAAAAAAAAAACAGGAUACAAAAUUGUUGACAUUCAAAUGACUCAAAAUAGAAUGUUUCCUCUUGAAGUUUCUGAUGUUAAAACUUUUGCAUUAGUUACCAAAGAUAGUACCGAAGAUAAUUUAUGGAAUUUGCAGUAUGGUCAUUUGAAUGUAAAGGGGUUGCAAUUAUUAGGUCGUAGAAACAUGGUUCUAGGUUUGCCUAGAACUGAUGCUCUUGAAUUCUGUGAAGGAUGCAUGUAUGGGAAACAAAAUAGAAAUUCAUUUCCCAUAGGCAAGUCUUGGAGAGCUUCUGGUUGUCUUGAACUGGUGCAUACUGAUCUAUGUGGUCCUAUGAGUGUUGAGUCCUUAGGUGGAAGUCGAUAUUUCCUACUUUUUACGAAUGAUUAUAGUCGAAUAAGUUGGGUGUAUUUCUUGAAAUUCAAAUCUGAAACAUUUGAGAAUUUCAAGAAAUAUAAGCUUUUUGCUAGAAACAAAGUGGUUGUAGAAUCAAGACUCUUCGAACAGAUAGAGGUGGUGAAUUUAUGUCAAAUGAAUUCAAAACUUUGUGAGAAAUAUUGUAACACCCCGCAUUUCGGGCUAGAACGAAAACCGUCGUUUCUAUGCGUAGAUGAUCCAAAAGCCAUAAAUCUUAUACAAAUUUGGGAUGUUAAUCAAUUAUGUAGUGUGAGAACCUAUUUUAGCAUGAAUUGAGAUCAUAGAGGUCCCCAAACUCAAGGACGAGUUGAAAGCUUUCCUAUCGUUCGAGUUUGAGUGAGCGUUGAAACUUGGGUCAACUUCAAUUGACCAUAACUCUUUGUAUAUAAUGAAUUAGAGGACCUACUUAUAUCAAAUGAAAGCUCUUCAGAUUAGCUUUCCAACAAUAAUAAUUUCGCAAAAAUCCGAUACCCGAGCGAAAAGUUAUGGCCAUUUUUGUGAUUGAGACAGUAGCAUCGCGAGAUUAGCAUGCGACGCACGUACCCAAUUUCUAGGUGUUGUUUUAGCGUUUUUAAGGGCACAAGUGGUAUUUUCCACCCCCUAUUCAGCCAUAACAUUGGAUUAAAUCCUCCAAACACCAAAAUAACAUUAUUUUCUCUCAAAAUCACCAAGAACACUCCUUAGGGUUUCAACCCAAAGAUCAAUAUAUCUCAAUAUUUAACCGUGGGUUUUCCUUAAUUCUUCAAGAUUCAAAAUCGGCAUUACGAGGGCUACAAGAAGCACCCAUCAAUCGUACGUAUAGCAUGCCAAAAGCUAGAGUUCAUUCAAAAGCUUCUAAUUUAAGGUACGUGGGGUUUUCCUAAAAUCUCAUGGGCAUAGAAAUCAUCUUUUAAUUAUGCAAAGGGUUUAGAAAUCAUGAUUUUAAGAAAAUGGUUUUGGAUUUAUGAUUAUAAACAUGUUUUAGAAGCCUGGAUGAUAUUGUUUGGUCUUUACUCGUUCCCCCAAAUUGAUUUGAAAUGAUAUAUAUAUUGUAAGCAUGUGUUUUAAGGUUGAUGAUUGAAUUUUCAUUUACUUAUGAUAUACUAUGAAAUCGUUUGAAUGCAUCUUGAAAAGCAUGUUAUGAAAUGUCUUGAAUAAUAUUAUAUUUGGAUUAUGAUUUUGAUUUCAAAAGAGAGAGGGUUGUUUAUGUUGAUGAAUGUUGAACAUAAUCAUAUAAUGAGAAGGGUUGCAUGGUUUGUUAAAGACUACAUGACCACCACUUGUUUAUUGAAAGGAUGGGAAUUUUGCAUAGUUUUGACUUAUGUUUUCGGAACAUGAAUUUCCUUUGUUAAAUUGCAUGUUUGGGUGGUCUAAACUAUUUUUUAAUAAAAGAAUCAUGCAUGAUGAAUUAUGUCUUAGAGAUAGGACUUGAAAUUCUUGGUGUGAUGACACCAAUCCAGAUAAUGCCAUGGUAAUUCAGAACAAAAUAGAAUGCAUGUUUGAAGUCAGAUUUUUCAGAUGUUGAAACUAGAAUAAUGCAUGAUUCUGAACAGGGUAAAAUUGGGAAUAAAGAGAGCUUAGGUGGUUACCCGAAGAAGGCAUGAGUUCAGACAACUCAUUGUCCAAAACCGUGAUUUACCAAUCUGAGUAUAUUGAGUAUAUUAUUAUACGCUGGCCUAGUGCCCUGUGGCGUAUCAGACUCAGACACCAACCCUUGCGGCACACUUGGGUUGGGGGCUUCCCCGUCGAGUCAAUGGUGGAUUCCAUAUAGCCCGUAGAAUAUCAGACUUGUAGGGGAAUGCCACCUAAAUCAGAAGUAAUACAAAGAUCAGAAACUGCUUUUGACAGAAAAGUUUUUUUAUGUUUUUUCAAGAAUGCCCAUGUGUUUUGAAAAUUAUAUCUUUCAUGAUGUUUAUGGCUAGCUCUCAACUAUUUUAUUUAUAUAAAAGCUUUAUUUUGGAUUGCUCUGCAUACUAGUACAAUUGUAUUGACCCCUUACCUCCAGGGUCUAAAGCUCAUUCAGAAGCCCUGCUAAGCUGUAGAGUUUUCAGACAGCAGUAAUGUGUGUAAUUGGUAAGCCUUCUUUAUUCCAGAAGGUCUAUGUCUUUCAGAUUAUGUUAUUUAUUUUGGUUUAGGUCCGUUGGGGGCCUUUUCCCAAUUUUUGAUACAAAUCAGUCCACCAAGAUGCCAAAACAGUCCACAAAAUGUAAGAAGAACAAGCAACACAAAGGGAUACAAAAUGACAAACACAAAAGCACACGGAUUUGCAAAAUAAUAAAAGGAUAGAUAGUGAGACCAAUAUUAUUACAAGAUUAAGAACCAAGUAUAUUUCAACAUUAACCCCUAAUGAAUGUAAUAAUUAAAACCACACUCUUACAGUGACCGCCAAGGUAAUCUACUUACCUCAAGAUCCACCGUUUCCAAGCAAAGAACGAUAUUGGCUUUUCCAAGCCCUAUACUAAGGAUGACUUUGUAAAGUCUUAACUAAUACUAUACUAAGGUGGUCUACUCUCAAGAGAGAGGAUUUCAAGUAUUUCAAUUUUUCAUCUUUCAGAAACUAACUAGCAAAUGAACUAAUAGAACCUAUUUAUAGUCUAACUUAUUACAUAACAAAAUGACCACAAUACCCUUAAUAAAAAGGGGUGGUCAUGGAGUGUUACUUGGACAAGGCUAAGUAACCAAAAUGUCCUUAAUGAAGGCCCAAAACUAUGAGUUCUCAAUCUUCAAUGCUCCAAACAAUCAUUCACACGUGGGAUUGCUCUUUGGUGUACUUAAAUCGGCCCCUCCAUGUAGGAUCCCAUUUUCUUAAUGUGACCAAAUCUUGAUGCCCCACGUACUGAAUUCAAAUGAUGUCAUUGAAAGCUAACGUGGCCAUUUGAAUUGUAUCACCUCCCCUUCUUGAAAAGGAUUUGUCCUCGAAUCCAAACCUUGCAAAACCAAAGAAAGGACACACAAAUACAAACUCCUCAUGGCAUGAGGGUUAGGGUAAGUACAACAAAUCACCUCAACAUGCCAAGGUUGAACAUAUUUAGAAUAUAACCAAGGAUCCUUUAAACUAAAUAUUACAUAAUUAAUGAAAAAUUCACAAAGGAUUUGGCUAUAGAAUUCACAAAAAAUGAUACUUUUCUUGUCAUGUAAACCAAGCAACAAGUUGGGUGCACCAUCAUCACCAAUUAUAUAUUUGGCACCGGGUUCAAACAGGAAGAGUGGCCAUAGACAUGGAACUAGACAACACUCCCCUUUCCAGUGGUCUCCACCUAAAAUAAACGGCAUACUCUCUACAAUAGCAUACAUAUUAUCCAGAGCAAAUAGAAAGUAGAGAAAGGUAUCACUCAAGUCGACUUCUACUAAGGUGUCCUCAUAUGUAUACUCACUACUAGUUUCACAAUCAUCACCAUGAGUACUAUCAACAAUAAAGUCACAAAAAGUAGAAGGAGAAGCAGUUUCCAAAACCACACAUCUCUUACCCUUAAGAGUACUCUCAUCUUCCAAGAAGAGAUUUUCAUCUUUAGGAGGAAUGUUGUCACACCAUAAUGGGUUAGCAUAUUGGCUAUAGCUUCUAAGGAAAACUAUACCAUCAUUUCCACCACUAGGUUCAUUAGGAGUGGUCAUAUCAUCUUCAAACAAGACAUUAUACCUUAAGAGAGCAUGAUAUAUUUCACGGGCAGAUUCAAACAAACACGUUCAUCACUCUCUAAAAGAUCAAUAUCAAGUUUCAAAGAGAUUUCAAGUGCAAGAUUAUCCCAAGAAUAGCUCUCGGGUUCACUCCUAUUCCUUUGAUCAAUAUUUUCAACAUCAUCACACACUUGAGAUUCAUUAAUCACAUCACACACAUCCUCAAGUGGUGGGCAAUUUUCACACAAAAGUUGAUCAACAUAAAUUUCACAAGACGAUGUACUUCCAUUCAACACAAUGAUUUCAAAACUAGGUGGACAUAAAUCGAUCUUAAAAGAAGAGUCGAUUCGGUUAUCAAUAGGAUCAACUAAUGUAUCCACACUCACAAUAGACUCACAUAUAGGAAAACUAUAACUCACACUCAAUGGGCUACUAGCCACACAAUUAUCAUUCACAUGCACAAAAGUGUAAGGGUUAGCUAUUUUACCUUGAAGUUCAUGGGUAUGUUUUUCUUUAAAUCGGUGAGAAAGUCCAUCACAAGAUUGGGCAACAACUUCCUUCAGAAAGCUCUUAUCACAAGUUGUUUGGACAAUUGGAUUUUGAGGGAAGAGUUUGGGUAAAAAUUGGCGUAUAAUUUCAAUGUGUUGUUGCAUAUCUUCAAGAUCGUCAUGGAUACGAUCACACGUGGCCUUGAAAUUAUGUGCAGCCAUGGUACCUAACAAAAAAAAAACAAAAAAAUCUCCUUACCAACACUCGAUACACUCACCUUUGUGAUUCUCACAAUUGGAGUGGCAAAUAUUGAAAGUUACUUAUACUCCGGUAGUCAAUAAGAUGUCAAUCCUACUUGGCGGCCAGAAUGGAUUCUUGUUUUGAUUGACUCAAGAAACAAAAUAAAAUUCACUUAUGAACUUGAAAUAAAGAAGUUACUAUGAGUUACAAACGAGAAAAGCAUACAAAUAACGAAGACAUGAAAGAAACGUAUUCAAUAACUAAUUUACAACUUAGUAGGUAUUUACUAGUUGCCAAUUAGUAUAAGAAUAAAAAAAAUAAACUAAGAAUAAACAAUAAGAAACUAAGAAUCCAAGAUUUUGAGCCCUAAGUUUCGGUAUUGUACAAAAAUUGGUGAUAUGGCAGUCUAGGAUUGGUUGCGGUUUUUGAAAGGUUCUUAUUUUUCCAACUUUGAAAUUUUGGUUCAAUUAUCAAUUCUUGAAGAAGUGUAUUUCAGCAUUGGGGAAUAAAAAUAUCAAUAUUGGAGCCAUUUUUCACAUUCAAAAAGGUUUGACUUAUCUUACACCUUUUGGGCAAGACACCUUUUUGAAGGGUUGGUGGCCCUUUCCUCUUUUGGACACCUAGAAAGGUAUUUUUUUUCCCUCUUUUAGUACCAAGUCUUUUGUAGAUCUUUUUGUCCCCCUUCCCUUUUAGUAGGUAUUUGGGAUUUGUUUUAAAGACUAGCAAAGGCCUCACUUCUUUCCACUUGGCUUUUGGAUCAAACAACACUAUUGAAGAGCUUUUUUGCAACUAAACAUGAAGAUAGUCUAGAACAACAAGAACUUUCAAUAGAAGUUUGAAAUCCUAGCCUCACAUUGAACCUCCAACAAUCAACAACACCUUUAUCAAGCUUAAAAAACAUAACAAAAUACCAAAAACACGAGUUCAAACCACCUUCAAGCUUUGGUCCACACAACAACACCAACAAUGUUAAAGUUCUUUAAACCGCAACAACAAUACCAACAACAAUGUUCAAGCUCAACUUGGAUCUAGACUCAAGGGUGUUAGUGAAGACAAAACUAACACUUAGAAACAACUAAGAUAAAAAAAACACACCUAAAUUUAGACACAAAUCUCGUCCAAAACAACAACAACACCAAGAACACAAUUUCGGCCAAGAACACAAAAAAAUGGACAGAUUUGCUCUUUUUGAUUUUUCGGUUUUCUAACACUUUUUUUUUAUUUUCAAGUUGACAAAACCAAGAUUGAUCUUGUGGGAACAAUAUCAAUCCAUGCUUUGAUACCAAAUGAUACAAAUCAGUCCACCAAGAUGCCAAAACAGUCCAUAAAACGUGAGAAGAACAAGCAACACAAAGGGAUACAAGAUGACAAACACAAAAACACACGGAUUUGCAAAANNNNNNNNNNNNNNNNNNNNNNNNNNNNNNNNNNNNNNNNNNNNNNNNNGUUUCCAAGCAAAGAACAAUAUUGGUUUUUCCAAGCCCUAUACUAAGGAUAACUUUUCCAAGUCCUAACUAAGACUAUACUAAGGUGGUCUACUCUCAAGAGAGAGGAUUUCAAGUGUUUCAAUUUUUCAUCUUUCAUAAACUAACUAGCAAAUGAACUAAUAGAACCUAUUUAUAGUCUAACUUAUUACAUAACAAAAUGACCACAAUACCCUUAGUGAAAAGGGGUGGUCAUGGAGUGUUACUUAGACAAGGCUAAGUAACCAAAAUGUCCUUAAUGAAGGCCAAAAACCGUGAGUCCUCAAUCUUCAACUCUCCAAACAAUCUUUCACACGUGGGAUUGCUCUUUGGUGUACUCAAAUCGGCCCCUCCAUGUAGGAUCCCAUUUCCUUAAUGUGACCAAAGAUUGAUGCCCCACGUACUGACUUUGAAUGAUGUCAUUGAAAGAUAAGGUGGCCAUUUGAAUCGUAUCAAUUUUAGAAAGUUGUUAUUUUCAGAUGUAGUAGAUAUUUCGCAGAUUGGUUCAAACAUUGUCUUGUUGUUGUUGGGCUUUACUUUCAUAUUAUAAAUUAAGUUCAGACUUAUGAACAUGAUUCCAUUUCAGUAUGUAUUUUCUGCACUUCCUAUUUGUAUAUGAAUGGUGUGUAUGAUUAUGAGUUAGAAGGUCUCUCGGGCCUUCAUGGUUCGGGAUGUCCGUCAUGGCCAAGGCCCUGGUUCAAUUUGUAACAAAAAUGGUAUUCAUAGAGAGCUCAUAGUACCAUAUACACCAGAGCAGAAUGGUGUAGCCGAAUGAUAGAACUAGACGAUUGUUGAAAUGGGCAAAAGCAUGAACCCAGAGGUGUACUAAAGUGUUUCUGGGGUGAAGUUGUUGCUACUACUGUCUACGUGCUCAACAUUUCACCCACCAAGUUUAUUCUUAAUCCAACACCAUAUGAAGCAUGGAGAGGUAACAAGCCCAAGGUACGCCUCUUACGUGUCUUUGGAUGUAUAGCUUAUACGUUGGUGAAAUCAUAGGCUAGGCAAAAGCUUGAUUAAAAAUAAAAAAAAAUAUAUAUUUGUUGGAUAUAGCACACAAUUCAAAGAUUAUAAGUACGAGUCAAUUUUGUUGUACCAUUCCCUCGAUGCUUUUUUAGCCCAUAAAGUGCCUUCUUGAGUUUGUAAACUUUGCUCUCAUUGCCACUAAUAACAAAACCCUCAGGUUGGGAAACAUAAAAUUCCUCUUCCAAAUCCCCAUUUAAGAAUGCAGAUUUAACAUCAAAUUGAUAAAUGAGCCAGCUCAAUUUAGCAGCCAAAGAUAAGAUUAUUCUAACCCUUUCAAAAUGAGCAACAGGUGAAAAUGUUUCAUCGUAAGCAAUACCUUGAUGUUUUGCAUAUCCCUUUUCUAUGAGCCCGGAUUGGUGUCUCUGUAUGAUCCUGUCAGUAUGACGCUUGACUUUGAACACCCAUUUGAGUCCAAUAGGUUCCUUUCCAUCCGAUAGAUUCACUAACUCCCAUGUCUGGUUCUUCUCAAUUGCUAGCAUCUCUUCUAUCAAUGCAUUUAUCCAUACUUAAAUCUCUGUAGCUUCUUUGAAAUAAGUGGGUACUGCACCAUACAAAGAAAAAGAACUAUUCUUAUAAAUCUCCCUCAACAAUUUGAAUUUCAUUGGUGGAGUCUCGCUGGAAGAGUCUGUUGAAGAGGAACUGCUGCCACUUCUUUUGGGGGUUAAGUCAUGAUCACUUACUGGAGAAGAGGUUCUUGAUAGAGGAGUAGAAAGGGUGGUACUUGCUGGAGAAGAACUGGAUGUGUUCUCUGGAACGAAAACUGCUGCAAGUUCUUUCUCAAAAAUUUCAUCAGUAGGCGACAAAUUAAUAUUUGAAUUAACAUUCCCAGAAUCAAAGUUCUAGCUAGCAUCAUCAUUAAACAUAACAUUUCUACUUAUCAUAAUUUUGCCACUCACAAUCAUAUAAGUAGAAAUUAAACAUAACAUUUCUACUUAUCAUAACAUUUCUACGUUGUAUGUAAAGAAACAAGGUAGGAGUGAUUUUUUGGUAGUUUGUCUCUAUGUGGAUGACAUGAUUUAUAUGGGAUCAUGUGAAACUUUAGUUGCUGAAUUUAAAUCUUGCAUGAUGGAGUUUGAAAUGUCAGGUUUAGGUAUUUUGCAAUACUUUCUUGGUCUUCAAGUGAAAUAGGUGGGGAUAACGGAUAACUUUGAUAUGGUACAGAGGUUGCCAACUUUUUGUUUGACUUCCUUCUUGCCCAUCAUAUCAGAGUUAGUGAUUGACACGACCCAAACUAGGGCCUGGCCAUGACGGAUAUCCCAAACCAUGAAGGCUCGGGCAUCCUACUCUAUCAGACAAUCAUGCACAACAUUCACAUAAUAAAUGAGAUGGGAAAUAUAAUCUGAUAUGGAAACAUGGUCAUACUCUGGAUUCAGUUAAACAAUAAGGAAUGAAAUCUGAACUCAACUAAACAACAUCUAGAAUAGUCUGUGAAAUCUCUACUACAUGCAAAUCCGACAACUAUCUAAAAGCUGGGACAAAGGCCCCAGUAGACCAAAAUUGUAACCACUAAUAAUUGUCUAAAAAUAAACAGGCCUUCCAGAAUAUAGAAGGCUCACCAACUAGACACUACAACUCUAUCUAAUGAAAUCUACUACUUAUCUAGACCCCUAAACUGAGCCUCAGAACCUGAGAGGUAGGGGGAGGAGGGUCAAUAAAAUGUACUGGUACGCAAAGUAAUCACAAAUAAAACUUCUAUAUAAGUAAAAUAGUGGAGAGAAAGUUGUUAAAACAUCAUGCAUAUAACAGUUCUCAAAAUACAUGGGCAUUUUUCUAAAAAUCAUAAAUCAUUCUUGUCAAUGCAAUAUCUGUUCUUUGUAUUUCUUCUGAGUAAGGUGGCACUCCCCUACAAUGCUGAUAUUCCACGGUUUAUAUGGAAUCCUCCAUUGACUCAAUGGAGAAGCCUCCAAUCCAAGUAUGCCGUAAGGGUUGGAGUCUCUAAUUCUGAUACGUCACACUGUUCUAGGCUAGCGUAGUAUAAUAUACCCGGAUUGGCAAAUCACGAUUUUGGGCAAUGAGUUAUCUGAACUCGUGCCCUCUUUAGGAAAUCACCCAACAUCUCUUUAUGCCCUAUUUAAGCCUUUUCUGAACAUGCUUCAUUCUAAAAUUCUAAAACAUAAAGGUCUGAUUUCUGUGUUAGUCUAUGUCUGUUAUGGCAUUGUCUGAGUUGGUAUCUUCGUACCAAGACUUACAAGUUGUGAUUCUAAGCCAUAUAUGAUAACUUCAUUCUAAAAAAAUGUUCAGGCCACUUGAUCAUGCAUAUAGUGUAAGAAGAGUCAUAUCUCAAAUCAUAAAUCAAAAUCAUGCAAAGGAUUUCCAUUUAUUCAACAAUUUCAAUAAGUAGUGGCCAACUUCUCAAAAACAUUCUUGAAGUUUCUUUGUUUAUCCAUCUCAACAUUUAAAAUCAUUAAAGCAUUCCUCUCUCCCAUUCGUAAUCAUCAUGAAUUUCACAUAAGACAAAUAGUAUCUUGAAUCAUUCUGCAAACCAUGAAAUGUAAGGAUUCAUAACUUGUAAAUCAAAUAAGAAAGUAAUGGGAGAGGGAGAUUUUAUAUUUCAUGAUCUCGAUUCAAAAUUCAUGGUUUUCAAUGCAUACGUACAUAUAUUCAAUUCAAAUCAAUUUGGGGGAAGGCCUAAAGACCAAAACAAUAUUAUCGAAGCUUCUAAAACAUGAAUGUAUUCAUAAAUUCAAAAAUCCUUUUUCUUAAAAAUCAUGAUUUCUAUGCCCAUGAGAUUUUAGGAAAAACCCCGCAUACCUCAAUUAUGAAGAAUAAUGGAUGAUCCUUGAAGCCUACGGUUUGGGGAUUCCAAAUCUCUGAUCAAUUUCAAAAACCCAUGGUUGAAUCUUGAGUUUCUUGGAGGAGAAGUAUAUGAACUAGGGUUUUUGUUUUGAGGGAAAUUUUGAGAAUGUCAUAUAUUAUGCUUGUAGAGGUCUUAAUCUCCUGUUUGGACAUUUUAAGAGACUGGGAAAAAGUCCAAACUACCCUUGUUAACUUCUGAACGAAACAGGAAAAAUUUAAACUGGGAACCCGAUCUUACGGGCCACCGCAAUGCGCCACUAUCGCGGUGGCUCAAUGUAAAUUGAUGAAGGGGAAUUUUACCCACUCCAUGAGGCACCACCAUCGUAGAGUCUUACUGAAAAUUGACCAUCAUUAUUUACACCCUCUCCGAGAUGCGCCAAGGACAGGAAUGACGCUGUUUUAUGACUAGGACUUAAAUUAACCAUAACUUCUUCACCGAUCGUCUGUUUUGGACGAAUCUUAUGUCGACGGAAAACUUAUUCGAUCAUCUAUGUAAUGAGAAGUUGAAAUAUAAGGAAUACUAUAGGGAAAUAAGUAUAAAUCAUUCUAUAAGCCAUUGUUUGAUACUUUAGGGACAAAAUUUAGCUAGGAAAAACUUUGGGCGUUUCAAUAUCCCUCCUUGGGAACAUUCAUCCUCGAAUGUUGACGCGGGACACAGAUAAACAUAAUUUCAAGCAUACUAAGGCAUAGAAAGAAUAAGGCGAGGAUUGUACCUUCCAUUUAUUCAUCCACUAGAUCAAAAAGGUUUGGGUAUCUAGCUCUCAUGUCAACUUCUGAUUCCCAAGUUGCUUCUUCAAUUUUUUGGUUUCUCCACAACACUUUAACUGAGGCUAUCCCUUUGCUUCUCAAUCUUCUAUCUUGGUGAUCCAAAAUUUCUACAGGUUUUUCUUCAUAUAAUAAAGAGUCUGUCAGUUUGAUUUCUUCGACAGGCAACACUAAAGAAUGGUCUCCAAUACACUUCUUCAACAUAGAUAUAUGAAAUACCGGAUGAACAGAACCUAAACUGGCAGGCAAUUCUAACUCAUAUGCAACUCCACCUAUCCUUCUCAUAAUUUGGUAUAGCCCUAUAUAGCGAGGACUCAGCUUACCUUUCUUCCUGAAUCGUAUGACUUCCUUCAUGGGAGAAACCUUGAGAAAUACCCAAUCUCCAACCUCAAACUUAAGAUCUCUUCUCCUAACAUCAGCGUAGGAUUUAUGAUGACUCUAAGCUAUCUUAAGUUGUUCUAUAGUGACUUUCACAUCCUCCAUUUCCUGAUGAAUAAGAUCAGGCCCAAACAUCUAUAUCUCACCUACUUUAUACCAUCCUAUCAAAGACCUACAUCUUCUCCCAUAUAAUGCCUCAAAUGGUGCCAUCUUAAUACUAGAAUAAAAAUUGUGAUUAUAUGUGAACUCUAUCAAUGCCAAGUGCUCUACCCAACUACCUUUAAAAUCAAUCACGCAGGCCCUCAACAUAUCCUCAAGGUUCUGGAUGGUGCGCUUAGCUUGCCCGUCUAUCUGAGGUUGGAAAGUCAUGCUCAAAUUUACUUGGAUACCUAAACCCUUUUGAAACGAUCUCCAAAAUUAUGAAGAAAACUGUGUACCUCGGUCAGAUAUGAUGGACACAGGUGCCCCAUGCAAACGAACUAUUUCUGCAAUGAACAGCUUGGGAUAGUCCUCUCCCGAAUAAUUAGUCCAGGUAGAAAGUGAGCUAAUGAAGUCCAUAUUAAUCAUCUCCCACUUCCACAAAGGCAAAGCUAUCUCUUGAGAAGAACCGCCUAGCCUCAUAUGUUCCACUUUAACUUAUUGACAAUUCAAACACUUGGCAACAUAGUUAGCCAUAUCACGCUUCAUAUAAUUCCACCAAUAAAUGGUUUUCAAAUCAUGAUACAUCUUAGUAGAGCCAGGAUGAACAAUAUACCUCAACGUGUGAGCUUCGUCAAGGAUUCUAUUCCUCAGACCAUCUACAUCUGGCACACACAACCUACCCUGGUAUCUCAAAAUACCAUCACCUCCAAUUUCAAAUGACAUUACCUUUUGUUGACCCACAUUUUUCUUGAUCUGCAUCAAGAUGGCAUCUUUAACCUGCUUCUCUUAACUUUUCACAAAGGGAAGAUUUAGCUAUCUCAUGAACAACCACUACUCCAUCCUCAGAAUCCAAAAGUCACACUCCUAGAUUUGCAAGUCGGUGAAUAUCCUUCAUCAUCUCCCUCUUUUCUUUCCCCAUAUAAGAAAGACUGCCCAUAGAUAACCUGCUAAGGGCGUCAGCUACCAUAUUUGCCUUGCCCUGAUGAUAGUGCAGGCUCAUGUCAUAGUCUUUUAAAAGUUUCAACCAUCGCCUCUACCUGAUAUUCAAUUCUUUCUAUGAGAAAACAUACUAUAAACUCUUGUGGUCAGUAAAUAUAUCAACAUGUAUCCCAUACAAAUAGUGCCGCCAGAUCUUAAGUGCAAAAACCACAACCGUUAACUCUAAGUCAUGAGUAGGGUAGUUCCUCUCAUGCACCUUCAACUGACUAGAUGCAUAAGCCACUACCUUAUCAUACUGCAUAAGAACAUACCUAAGUCCCACUUGGGAUGCAUCACAGUAUACAACAAAACCUUUUGUACCCUUCAGAAGAGUCAAAAUAGGAGCAGUAGUCAACUUGUCUUUCAACUUCUCAAAACUAUUCACACAAGAGUCAGACCACAAAAACUUUACCUUUUUCUGAGUCAACUUAGUAAGUGGUGUAGCUAUGGAAGAAAAACUCUCUACAAAACUUCUAUAAUAACCCGCCAAACCCAAGAAGCUCUGAAUAUCUAUUGGAGUCGUGGGUCUAGGCCAUUUCCUCACUGCCUCAAUCUUUUGGGGAUCAACCUUAAUCCCUUCACUAGACACAAUAUGCCCCAAGAAAGUAAUAGCAUUUAACCAGAAUUCACACUUGGAGAACUUUGCAUAUAACAUAUGAUCUUUGAGAGUCUGGAGGAUAAUUCAGAGGUGAUUGGCAUAAUCCUCCUCACUUUUGGAAUAAAUCAAGAUAUCAUCAAUGAAAACUAUGACAAACAAGUCUAUAAAUUAUCAAAAGACCCUAUUCAUUAGGUCAUGAAGGCUGCAGGGACCCAUCUUUCUUUCACACAAAAAGUAUAGGUGUACACCAGGGAGAAACACUAGAACGGAUGAAACCUUUAUCUAGGAAGUCUUUCAACUCUUUCAUCUCUACUAGAGCUAUUCUAUAUGGCAGAAUAGAGAUGGGACGAGUGUCUGGCAACACAUCCAUGCCAAAAUCUAUCUCCCUAUUAGGUGGUAUUCCUGGGAAAUCAUCUGGAAAGAUUUCUGAGAAUUCAUUUACCACAGGGACAGAUCGAAGAGGAAGAUUUUUGGUGUUAGAAUCUUUAACCCGAAUAAAAUGAUACAACCAACCUUUAGAAAUGAGUUUACGGGCCCUGAGAUAAGAUAUGAAGUGCCCUCUAGGUGCUAAAGAGUACCCUUCCUAUUUUAUUGCUGGCUCAUUUGGAAAAGAAAAAGUAACCUUUUAGGUUCUACAGUCUAGAGUGGCAUAACACGAAUAGAGCCAGUCCAUCCCUAGGAUAGUAUAAAAAUCAACCAUAUCAAGCUCUAUGAGAUCUGCCACAGUAUCCUGGCUAAGAAUAGACACAACAUAAUUUUUAUAUAUCCUCUUAGCCACAACAAAAUCACCCACCAGAGUGGAAACAGAGAAAGAGUCAGUAAUGACUUUGGACUCUAACCUAAAACCAACAACCACAUAUGGGGUCACAUAAUACAAGGUAGACCCGAGAUCAAGUAACACAUAAACAUUACAGGAAAAGAUUUGUAAUGUAUAGGUGAUAAUAUCUGGUGAGAACUAUGCCUCCUCGUGGUUAGUCAAAGCGUACAGUCGGUUGCGACAGCUUUCGGUAGCUGAAGUGGCGCCCUUUUAAGGCGGUGGUGGUGCGGAAGAAUUUGCCGGAGAUUUUGCACCACCAACAUUCCUUAUAGCAGAUGGACAAUCCCUCUGUAAGUGACGCAGAUGAACACAUGAAUAACAUACUAAUGCACCCCACUGACACCUUCCUAGAUGUUUCCUACCAUAAGUCUCACACCAUAGAAAAGUAUGAUAUUGCGGAGCCACACUACCCUAUGACUGAGUAUCCUGAGUUCUGGAUUCCUGAUUAUUUUGGAAACUCUAAGAUCUUCUGUCAACUGGGGGUCUGGGCACUGAGGCGUUGCCUGCGGACUGUGCAUUACCCAAAUUCUUCUUCUUCUGCCAUUAAUUACCCCACUUACCACUUUUUGGCUUACUGUGAUGCUAAUCUGUUGUUCUAGCUCUCUUUGUCUGCCUGUCCUUCUCUCUAGACUCAGUGAUUUUCUUUUUCUUUUCUUCUACCUAUUGUAUAUAGACUGACAGCCUAGCAAAGUUAAUAUCCCUAUUUAGCAUCGCCCCUUGACAUUCAAGCACUAGAUCAUCUGAAAGGCUGGAUGUAAACUUCCUCAUCCGGGCUCUAAUAUUGCUGGUCAUCUCUGGUGAAUAUCGGGAUAAUUGGUUAAAAUUCAAAGUGUACUCCUGGACACUCAUAUUUCAUAAACUCCUCAGUUUUGGCCUCCCUCAACUCUAGAGAAAAGAACCGAUCAAGGAAGGCUUCCACAAAUUUACCCCAAGCUGUGGGCUCAGCACUCUUUUUCGCAUCCCCAAACUGUGGGCUCAGUAACAUCCUUGAGUUGAUAAUUUUCCAACUCCACCCCUUCUAUAUCCUCCACAUGUAUCACCUUAAAUGUAAAACCCCGACGUCUUCUUAGCUAAAUUCCAUCCAUGAAAAGUCUAAGCAUUAGCUUUUAGAAUGAUCUAAAUUAAUUUUCAUGUCGAAUUUCCUAGAUUUCAACCUUUCAUUAUGUAGAUAACUAAAUUAUCUUUCCAACAACAUAAGAUUCAUCCAAAAUGGACCCUCGGUGAAGAAGUUAUGACUAAUAAAAGUUUCAGUCAUAAACAUCAUCAUUUUGGUGUCUAACGCAUCGCGGAGAGGGUCAAAAUAACAAUCGUCAAAUUCUAGUGGAGCUCCACGAUAGUGGCGCAUUGCAGAGGCACUCAAUUUCCCACUCAUCAAAUUCCAGUAGACCACCGCGAUUCUGGUGCAUCGCGGUGGCACCCAAAAUCAGGUUUUUAAGUUUAAAUUUCCUGUUCCGUUUAGGAGUCAUUAAGGGUAAUUUUGACUUUUUCCUAGCCUUUAAAGCCAUCCAAAUAAAGGAUUUAGGGUAUGUUUGAGCAACUUAACCGUACUUUCAUCAAAACCAUCAAGAAUCCUCUCUAGAGCUUCAAACAAGAACUUCAAGAAACUCAAGAUUCAACCAUGGGUUUUCAAAAUCGAUUGAAGAUUCGAAAUCCCCGGAUCAUAGGCUUCAAUAAACACCCAUUUUUUCCUAUUUUAAGGUAUGCGGGAUUUUUCUAAAAAUCUCAUGGGCAUAGAAAUCAUGAUUUUAAGAAAGGGGUUUUCAGAUUUAUGAAUACAUUCAUAUUUUAGAAAUCUUGACGGUAUUAUUUUGGUCUUUUAACCUUCCCCAAAUUGAUUUGAAAUUAUAUAUACGUAUGCAUAUGUUUUAUGAUUUAUGAAUGAAUUGAGAGCAUGGUGCACAUGAAUCCCUCUCUUGGUAUGAUUUUCCCAAUUUUCUUAUGAGAAGGAUUGUUUUGAAUGUAUCUUGAAAAGCAUGAUAUGAAAUAUCUUGAUUAAUGCUACAAAUUGAUUUAUGGUUUUUAAUUCGAAAGAGAGGGUUGUGCAUAUUGAUAAAUGUUAAAAAUAUUCAUAUAAUGAAAGAGUGCACGAUUUUGCCAAAAGCACAUGACCACCAUAUGUUUGAACAAUCUCAACAUAGUUUUGACUUGUGUUCUCGAAACAUGAAAUCUUUUAUAUUGUUUGCAUGUUUGGGUGGUCUGAACUGUAUUUUAAUGAAAGAAUUAUGCAUGAUGCAUUAUGACUCAGAAAUAGGACUUGCAAGUCUUGGUGUGAUGACACCAAUUUAGAUUAUGCCAUGAUAAUUCAGAAUAAAUUUAAUGCAUAUUUGAAAUCAGACAUUUCAGAUGAUGAAACUAGAAACAUGCAUGAUUUAGAACAGGAUAAAAUUGGGCAUAAAGAGAGUUUAGGUGGUUUCCCAAAGAAGGCAUGAGUAUUAAACAACUCAUCGCCUAAAACCAUGAUUUGCCAAUCCAGGUUUAUUUAUUACGCUGACCUAGAGCCCUGUGGCUUAUCAGAUUCAGGAACUCCUUGUGGCACACUUGGGUUGGGGGCUUCCCCACCGAGUAAAUGCCAGAUUCCAUACCGCUCGUGGAAUAUCAGAAUUGUAGGGGAGUGCCAUCUAACUUAGAAGUAAUAUACAUAUCAGAACUUGCAUUGACAGGCAGGUUACAUGUUUUUCAGAAAUGCGCCAAUGUGUUUCGAAAGCUACUUGAUGUAUAAUGUUUUGACAAAGUUAUUUCCCAAACUAUUUUAUUUAUAUAUAAGCUUUAUUUUGGAUUUAUUUGUGUACCAGUACAUCUGUAUUAACCCCCCCUCCUCUCUCCAAGUUUUGAGGCUCAGUCUAGGGGUCCAAAAAGGCAGUAGAUUCGUCAGACAGAGUUACAGUGAUUAGUAGAUGAGCCUUCACUAUUCCAGAAGGCCCGUCUUUCAGAUUAUGUCCCUUAUUAUCAUUUUGGUCUAUUGGGGGCCUUUUCCUAAUUUUCUGACAGUUGUUAGAUUUUCCUGUAGUAGAGAUUUUGCAGACUGAGUCAGAUAUUAUUAGAUGUAGUUGAUUUUCAAUUUUCAUACUUAUGCUGAAUUCAGAAUUGACUAUGUUUUCGUAGCAGAUUAUGUUUUCGCAUCUUUUUUAUUUAUAUGAAUAUGUGCAUGCUUACCAGACAGAAAGGGACAUUUGGGGGCCUCAGGGUUUGGGAUGUCCAUCAUGGCCAGGCCUUUAUUCGGGUCGUGAAACACUUGGUAUUAAAGCACGGUUCAUGGUCCCAGCGUAUCUAUGAAAUCACAUCGGGUAGAGUCUUGUUUAUGAGUGUGUAGCAUGCCAUACGUAUAAGCAAGAGGCUACUAGGUGUUUAGGAAUGUUUCUCUUCUUUGUCAUUUAGUUCGUGCUUCAGAUUCUAAUCUAUCCGCAAAUCAAUGAUAUCUUGAUUUUUAGAAAAACCAGUUAUGCCUCCCCGUUGCACCAACGUUAAUGCUUAAGAGGAUGAAGACUGUCCUACUCAUGGAAUGAGGAUACAUAAUAGAGCUCAUAAUCUAAAAACUGUCCCUACUCCGGGAGUCCCUCCAGUCCCAACCAGUCUACCUAGGGCUCCUUGGACUAAUGUUACCCAUCCCCCGACUACUAAGAGGGAUAUUUUGAAUGCAGAAUUUAGAAAAUCUAUUCAUAUACUGAUACAGUUGGUGGAUAAUCAGGCCCAACGAUCAGAAGAUGUUGGGUCUGCACCUGUUAUAUCUGAAGCUACUAGGGUGGGUCUGACCCACCUAAGUUUACUGGCACUAAGGUAGAAGAGGAUCCGCAAGAGUUCAUAGACAAAAUGGAGAAGAUUUCUAGAGUGAUGCAUGUGGAUCAGGUGAAAGGUGUUGAGCUAGCGGUAUACCAGCUAAAUUAUGUAGCGAAUCAAUGGUAUAAUGAGUUGGAAAAGGUGAAGGGUGAUAGUGCUGAGCCCACAGUGUGGGACGAGUUUAUGGAAUCUUUUCUUGACUGGUUCUUUUCUCUAGAAUUGAGGGAAGCCAAAGUGGAGGAGUUUAUAAACCUUAAGCAGGGUAAUAUGAGUGUUCAGGAGUAUACUUUAAAGUUUAAUCAGUUAGCCCGUUAUGCUCCUGAGAUGAUGAGCAGUAUGAGGGCCCAAAUGAGGAAGUUUGCUUUUAGCCUUUCAGAUGAUCUGGUGCUUGAAUGUCAAGGGGCGAUGCUAAAUAGGGAAUUAGAAUUUACUAGGCUGACAGUCCAUAUGCAGCAGGUUGAGAAGAAGAAGAAGAACAUAGCUGAGUCCAGAGAAAAGGACACGCAGGCGAAGAGAGCCAAAUAAGUAGAUCAGAACCCCAGUCAGCAGCACGGUGGUAAUUGGGGUAACAAAUGGCAAAAGAAGAAGUUUUGGAGCAAGGCAUAGUCUACAGCUAGUGCCCCAGCGUCCAGACCUCCAGUUGAUAGACGGUCUCAAAGUUUUUAGGCCAGCCAGGGACCCAGAGCUCAGGAUACUCAGUCGUAAGAUAAUGUGGCUUAGCAAUACCAUUCUUAUCUAUGAUGUGAGACUUGUGGUAGGCAUCAUCCGGGAAAGUGUCAGUUGGGCUCGUCAGUGUGUUAUUCAUACGGUCAAACGGGCCACUUCCAGAGAGAAUGUCCCUCUGAUAGAAGAAAUGUUGGUGGAGCUAAGUCUCAGGAAAACUCUUCUACACCACCACUACCUUAAAAGGGCACCAAUUCAGCUGUCGGGAGCGGUUGCAACCGGCUGUAUGCUCUGACUAAUCUCCAAGAGGCGGAAGCCUCACCAGACGUAGUCACUGGUAGGUUAUAAAUCUUUUCUCGUAAGGUAUAUGUAUUGCUUGAUCUCGGGUCUACCUUAUCUUAUGUGACCCCGUAUGUGGCUGUUGGUUUUGGGUUUGAACCCGAUAUGAUUGCUGAACCUUUCUCUAUUUCCACUUCGGUGGAAGAUUUGAUUGUGGCUAGAAGGGUGUACAAAAAUUGUGUUGUGUCUAUUCUUAGUAGGGAUACUAUAGAAGACCUCAUAGAACUUGAUAUGGUUGCCUUUGAUGCUAUCCUAGGGAUGGACUAGCUCCAUCGGUGUUAUGCCACACUAGAAUGUAGGACUCAAAAGGUUACCUUUUUUUUUUCGAAUGUGCCAGCAAUAAAGUGGGAGGGGCUUUCCUUAGCACCUAGAGGGCACUUCAUAUCUUAUCUCAGAGCCCGUAAACUUAUUUCCAAGGGUUUCUUCUACCAUCUUAUUCGGGUUAAAGAUUCUAACGUCGAAAGUCUCCCCCUUCAGUCUGUCCCAGUAGUAAAUGAAUUCCCAAAAGUUUUCUAGAUGAUCUCCCAGGAAUUCCACCUGAUAGGGAGAUAUAUUUUGGCAUUGAUGUGUUGUCAAAUACCUGUCCUAUUUCUAUUCUGCCAUAAAGAAUGGCUCUUAUAGAGUUAAAAGAGUUGAAAGAAUAGCUAGCAUUUUAUCAGACCUAUUAUUUCUCCUUGGGGUGCACCUGUACUCUUCGUGAGAAAGAAAAAUGGUUCCCUGCGUAUGUGCAUAGACUACCGCCAGUUGAAUAAGGUCACAGUAAAAAAUAAAUAUCCUCUUCCUAGAAUAGAUGACCUUUUAAAAUAGCUUCAGGGUGCUAAGUGUUUUUCAAAAAUAGAUCUUCAUUCGGGAUAGCAUCAGUUGAAAGUUAGGGAGUCAGACAUUCCUAAAAUAGACUUUCAAACCAGAUAUGGUCAUUAUGAAUUCUUAGUCAUGUUCUUAGAGUUCACCAAUGCCCCUUCAACUUUCAUGGACCUAAUGAAUAGGGUCUUCCGUCAGUUCCUAGACCUGUUUGUCAUAGUUUUUAUUGAUGACAUCUUGGUUUACUCUAAAAGUGAGGAGGACCAUGCCAAUCACCUCCGCACUGUUGUUCAGACCCUCAAAGAUCAUAAGUUGUAUGGAAAAUUCUCCAAAUGUGAAUUCUGGCUGAAUUUUAUUUCUUUCUUGGGGAACAUUGUGUCUAGUGAAGGGAUUAAGUUGAUCCCUAAAAGAUUGAGGCAAUAAAGAAAUAUCCCAGACCCACGAAUCCAACCGACAUUCAAAGUUUCUUGGGUUUGGCAGGGUAUUACUGGAGGUUUGCAGAGAGUUUCUCUUCUAUAGCUGCUCCACUUAGUAAGUUGACUCAGAAAAAGGUGAAGUUUUUAUGGUCCGACUCUUGUGAGAAUAGUUUUGAGAAGUUGAAAGACAAGUUGACUACCACUCCUGUUUUGACUCUUCCAAAAGGUAUAGAGGGUUUUUUUGUGUAUUGUGAUGUGUCCCGUAUGGGACUUGGUUUGUACUUAUGCAGUAUGGAAAGGUGGUGGCUUAUGCAUCUAGGCAGUUAAGCAUGAGCGGAACUACCCCAUUCAUGAUUUGGAAUUAGCAGUUGUGGUGUUUGUGCUUAGAAUUUGGAGGCAUUAUCUUUAUAGGGUGCAUGCUGAUAUUUUCACUAACCAUAAGAGUUUGCAUUAUGUUUUCUCGCAGAAAGAACUAAAUCUCAGGCAAAGGCAUUGGAUGGAGCUUUUGAGAAACUAUUACAUGAGCCUUCACUAUCAUCUGGUAAGGCAAAUAUGGUAGCUGAUGCCCUAAGCUGAUUGUUAAUAGGUAGUCUUUCUUAUGUUGGGUAAGGGAAGAGAGAGAUGGUGAAAGAUAUUCACUGAAUUAUAAAUCUAGGAGUGCGACUCUUGGAUUCCGAAGAUGGGGGAAUAGAUGUUCAUGCGAUAACUACAUUUUCCCUUUGUACGAAAGUUAAAAAGAAGAAGGUUGAAGAUCCCAUCUUGAUGCAAAUUAAGAAUGAUGUGGGUCAGCAGAAGGUGAUGUUAUUUGAGAUCAGUGGUGAUGGUAUUUUGAGAUACCAGGGUAGAUUAUGUGUACCAGAUGUGGAUGAUUUGCAGAAUAGAAUCCUUGACGGAGCUCACACUUUAAGGUAUAUUGUUCACCAAGUCUCUACUAAGAUGUACCAGGAUCUGAAAUCUUUGUAUUGGUGGAAUAAUAUGAAGCGUGAUGUGUCUAACUUUGUUUCCAAGUGUUUGAAUUGUCAACAAGUUAAAGUAGAACACAUGAGGCCAGGUGGUUCUUCCCAAGAGAUAGCUUUGCCCUUGUGGAAGUGGGAGAUAAUUAAUAUGGACUUCAUUACAGGGCUCCCAAAGUCCUGAAACCAGUAUGAUUCUAUUUGGGUGAUUGUAGAUAGACUGACCAAGUCAGCCCAUUUUUUGCCUGUCAUGACUAACUAUUCAGGAGAGUAUUAUGCCAAGCUGUUCAUUUCAGAAAUAGUUCAUUUGCACGGUGCGCCUGUGUCCAUCAUAUCCAAUCGAGGUACAUAGUUAUCUUCUAAGUUUUGGAGAUCUUUCCAGAAAGGACUAGGUACCCAAGUGAACCUAAGCACUGCUUUUUACCCUCAGACCAAUGGGCAGGCCGAAUGCACCAUUCAGACCCUUGAGGACAUGUUUAGGGCCUGUGUGAUUGAUUUUAAAAAUAGUUGGGUAGAGCACUUGCCAUUGAUAGAGUUUGCGUAUAAUAACAGUUUCCAUUCUAGUAUUAAGAUGGCACCAUUUGAGGCACUGUAUGGGAGAAGAUGUAGGUCUCCUAUAGGAUGGUAUGAAGUAGGUGAGAUGCAAAUGUUUGGGCCCUAUCUUGUUCAUCAGGCAAUGCAGGAUAUGAAAGUCAUCAGAGAACGACUUAAGAUGGCUCAGAGUCAUCAAAAAUCUUAUGCCGAUGUUAGGAGAAGAGAUUUAAAGUUUGAGGUCGGUGAUUGGGUAUUUCUAAAACCUUCUCCUAUGAAGGGAGUCAUGCGAUUCAGGAAGAAAGGUAAAUUAAGUCCUCGCUAUAUAGGACCAUAUCAGAUUUUAAGGAGAAUAGGUGGUGUUGUGUAUGAGUUAGAAUUGCCUUCCAGUUUGGGUUCUGCCCAUCUGGUAUUUCACAUAUCCACGUUGAAGAAAUGCAUUGGAGACCAUUCUUUGGUGUUUCCUGUCGAAGAGAUCAAGGUGAAAGCCUCCUUAUCAUAUGAAGAGGAAACCAUUGCAAUCCUAGAUCGUCAGGUCCAGAAGUUGAGAAGUAAAGAAAUAGUUUCAAUUAAGGUGUUGUGGAGAAAUCAGAAAGUUGAAGAAGCCACUUGGGAAUUAGAGGAUGACAUGAGAGCAAGAUACCCAAGCCUUUUUGACCCAGUAGAUGACGGAGUUAAAGGUACAACCCUUACCUUAAUCUUUCUAUGCUUUAGUAUGCUUGGAAUCGUGCUUGUCUAUUUUCCGCAUGAUCAUUCGAGGACGAAUAAUUCCAAUAGGGGGAUAUUGUAGCACCCCGACGUCUUCUUCGCUAAAUUCCGUCCAUGAAAAGUCAAAGCAUUAGCUUUUAGAAUGAUCUAAAUUAAUUUUCAUGUGGAAUUUCCUAAAUUUCAACCUUUCAUUAUGUAGAUGACUAAAUUAGCUUUCCAACGAUAUAAGAUAAAUCCAAAACGGACCCUCGGUGAAAAAGUUAUGAAUAAUUUAAAGUUCCAGUCAUAAACAUCGUCAUUUUGGUGUCUAGCGCAUCGCGGAGAGGGUCAAAUUGACAAUCAUCAAAUUCCAGUGGGGCUCCUCGAUGGUGGAGCAUCGCGGAGGCACUCAAUUUCCCACUCGUCUAAUUCCAAUGGAUCACCGCGAUUGUGGCGCAUCGUGGUGGCACCCGAAAUCAGGUUUUUAAGUUCAAAUUUCCAGUUCCGUUUAGGAGUCAUUAAGGAUAAUUUUGAAUUUUCCCUAACCUUUAAAACCAUCCAAACAAAGGAUUUAGGGUAUGUUUGAGCAACUUAACCCUACUUUCAUCAAAAUCAUCAAGAAUUCUCUCUAGAGCUUCAAACAAGAACUUUAAGAAACUUAAGAUUCAACCGUGGGUUUUCAAAAUAGAUUGAAGAUUCGAAAUCCUCGGAUCAUAGGAUUCAAGAGACAACCAUUGUUUUCCUAUUUUGAGGUAUGCGGGGUUUUUCUAAAAAUCUCAUGGGCAUAGAAAUCAUGAUUUUAAGAAAGUUUUCAGAUUUAUGAAUACAUUCAUAUUUUAGAAAUCUUGAAGGUAUUGUUUUGGUCUUUUGACCUUCCCCAAAUUGAUUUGAAAUUAUAUAUACGUAUACAUAUGUUUUAUGAUUUAUGAAUGAAUUGAGAGCAUGACGCACCUUAAACCCUCUCUUGGUAUGAUUUUUUUAAUUUUCUUACGAUAUGGAUUAUUUUGAAUGUAUCUUGAAAAUCAUGAUAUGAAAUAUCUUGAUUAAUGCUGCAAAUUGAUUUAUGAUUUUGAAUUUGAAAGAAAGAGUUGUGUAUAUUGAUAAAUGUUGAAAAUAUUCAUAUAAUGAAAGAGUGCAUGAUUUUGCCAAAAGCACAUGACCACCAUAUGUUUGAACAAUCUCAGCAUAGUUUUGACUUGUGUUCUCGGAACAUGAAAUCUUUUAUAUUGUUUGCAUGUUUGGGUGGUCUGAACUGUAUUUUAAUGAAAGAAUUAUGCAUGAUUCAUUAUGGCUUAGAAAUAGGACUUGCAAGUCUUGGUGUGAUGACACCAAUUCAGAUUUUGCCAUGAUAAUUCAAAACAGAUUUAAUAUAUGUUUGAAAUUAGACUUUUUAGAUGUUGAAACUAGAAACAUGCAUGAUUUAGAACAGGAUAAAAUUGGGCAUAAAGAGAGUUUAGGUGGUUCCCCAAAGAAGGCGUGAGUAUUAAACAACUCAUCGCCCAAAACUGUGAUUUUCCAAUCUGGGUUUAUUUAUUACACUGGCCUAGAGCCCUGUGGCGUAUCAGAUUCAGGAACUCCAACCCUUGCAGCACACAUGGGUUGGGGGAUUCCCCGCUGAGUCAAUGACGGAUUCCAUACCACCCGUGGAAUAUCAGAUUGUAAAGGAGUGCCACCUAACUCAGAAGUAAUAUACAGAUCAGAACUUGCAUUGACAGGCAGGUUACAUGUUUUUCAGAAAUGCGCCAAUGUGUUUCAAAAGCCACUUAAUGUAUAAUGUUUUGACAAAGUUGUUUCCCAAACUAUUUUAUUUACAUAUAAGCUUUAUGUUGGAUUUCUUUGCGUACCAGUACAUCUGUAUUGACCCCCCCUCCCUCCCUCCAGGUUUUGAGGCUCAGUCUAGGGAUCCAGAAAGUUAGUAGAUUCGUCAGACAGAGUUGCAGUGAUUAGUUGGUGAGCCUUCUCUAUUCCAGAAGGCCCGUAUUUCAGAUUAUGUCCCUUAUUAUUGUUUUGGUCUAUUGGGGGCCUUGUCCCAGUUUUCAAAUAGUUGUCAGAUUUUCCUGUAGUAGAGAUUUCGCAGACUGAGUCAGAUGUUAUUAAAUGUAGUUGAUUUUCAAUUUUCACACUUAUGCUGAAUUCAGAAUUGACCAUGUUUCAGUAGCAGAUUAUGUUUCCGCAUCUUCUUUAUUUAUAUAAAUGUGUGCAUGCUAAACAGAUAGAGAGGGACGUUCUGGGCCCUCAGGGUUCGGGAUGUCCAUCACGGCCAAGCCCUAGUUCGAGUCAUGACAUUAAAGAUCUUCUCUAUCUCAUCCACAAACUCCUGUUGAUCUUCUUCUACCUUAGUGCCAGUAAACUUGGGCGGGUUCAUUCUCAUGAACUGACCCACCCUAGUAGCCUCAGAUAUAACAAAUGCAGACCCAACAUCUUUCGAUUGUUGAGCCUGAUUGACCACCAACUGUGUCAAUAUAUGAAUUGAGUGUCUCAAUUCUGCAUUAGAAAUAUCUCUCUGAGAAGUCGGGGGACUGUUAACAUUGGUCCGUAGAGAUCGAGAUGGACUGGUCGGGACUGGAGAUACUCCCGGAGUAGGAAUAGGUUCUGGGGCGAGAGCUCUAUUACGGGUCUACAGCCUGUGAGUGGGACGGACCUCAUCUAUCUGUGCAUUCUGAUAGAUAGUGCGACGAAGAGGUAUGAUCGAUUUUUCUGAAAAGCAAGAGAGCAUUGAUUAGAGGCAGAUUAGACUCCAAAGCAUGAACUAGAUCACAAAGAGGGGAAAUAUUCCUAAACGUAUAGUAGCCCCUUUCUUAUAAGUAUGGCUCGCUACACACCCAUAAACAAAACUCUAACCGACGCGAUUUCGCAGACACCUUGGGACCAUGAACCAUGCUAGGAUACCAAGUUUGUCACGACCCGAACUAGGGCCUGGCCGUGAUGGACAUCCCGAACCAUGAAGGCCCGGGCGUCCCACUCUAUCUGGUAAUCAUGCUCAACAUUCACAUAAUAAAAGGAGAUUCAAAAAUAUAAUCUGAUACGGAAACAUGGUCAUACUCUAGAUUCAGUUAAACAAUAAGGAAUGAAAUCCGAACCCAACUAAACAACAUCUGGAACAAUGUACGAAAUCUAUACUACAUUAAUAUCUGAAACCUAUCAGAAAGCUGGGACAAGGCCCCCAGUAGACCAAAAUCGUAACCACUAAUAAUUGUCUGAAAAUAAACAGGCCUUCCAGAAUAUAGAAGGCUCAUCAACUAGACACUGCAACUCUGUCUAAUGAAACCUACUACUUAUCUGGACCCCUAGACUGAGCCUCAGAACCUAAGAGGUAGGGGGAGGGGGGUCAACGCAAUGUACUGGUAUGAAAAUUAAUCCAAAAUAAAACUUCUAUAUAAGUAAAAUAGUAGAGAGAAAGUUACUAAAACAUCGCGCAUAAACAGUUCUGAAAACACAUGGGCAUUUUUAUAAAAAUCAUAAAUCAUUCUUGUCAAUGCAAUGUCUAUUCUUUGUAUUACUUCUAAGUUAGGUGGCACUCCCCUACAACUCUGAUAUUCCAUGGGCUAUAUGGAAUUCACCAUUGACUCGGCGGGGAAUCCCCCAACCCAAGUAUGCCGCAAGGGUUGGAGUCUCUGGUUCUAAUACACCACAAGACCCUAGGCCAGCGUAAUAUAAUAUACCCGGAUCGGCAAAUCACGGUUUUGGGCAAUGAGUUAUCUAAACUACUUUCCUCUUCAGGAAACCACCCAACAUCUCUUUAUGCCCUAUUUUAGCCGUUUCUGAACAUACAUCAUUCUAAAAUUCUAAAACAUAAAAGCCUGAUUUCUGUAUUAGUCUGUGUCUGUUAUGGCAUUUUCUGAGUUGGUAUCAUCAUACCAAAACUUGUAAGUCGUUAUUCUAAGUCAUAUAUGAUUAUUUUAUUCUAAAACAAUGUUCAGGCCACUUGAUCGUGCAUAUAGUGUAAGAAGGGUCAUAUCUCAAAUCAUAAGUCAAAAUCAUGCAAAGGAUUUCCAUUCAUUCAACAAUUUCAAUAAGUAGUGGCCAACUUCUCAAAAACAUUCUUGAAGUUUCUUUGUUUAUCCAUCUCAACAUUUAAAAUCAUUAAAGCAUUCCUCUCUCCCAUUCUUAAUCAUCAUGAAUUUCACAUAAGACAAAUAGUAUCUUGAAUCAUUCUGCAAACCAUGAAAUGUAAGGAUUCAUAACUUGUAAAUCAAAUAAUAAAGUAAUGGGAGAGGGAGAUUUUAUAUUUCAUGCUCUCGAUUCACAAUUCACGAUUUUCAAUGUAUACGUACAUAUAUUCAAUUCAAAUCAAUUUGGGGAAAGGCCUAAAGACCAAAACAAUAUUAUCGAAGCUUCUAAAACAUGAAUGUAUUCAUAAAUUCAAAAACCCCUUUUCUUAAAAAUCAUGAUUUCUAUACCCAUGAGAUUUUAGAAAAAAUCCCGCGUACCUCUAUUAUGAAGAAUAAUGGUUGAUCCUUGAAGCCUACGGUUUGGGGAUUCCAAAUCUCCGAUCAAUUUCGAAAACCCACGAUUGAAUCUUGAGUUUCUUGGAGGAGAAGUAUAUGAACUAGGGUUUUUGUUUUGAGUGAAAUCUUGAGAAUGUUGUAUAUUAUGCUUAUAGAGGUCUUAAUCUUCUGUUUGGACAUUUUAAGAGACUGGGAAAAAGUUCAAACUACCCUUGUUAACUUCUGAACGAAAUAGGAAAAAUUUAAACUGGGAACCCAAUCUUAUGGGCCACCACGACGUGCCACUAUAGCGGUGGCUCACUAUAAAUUGACGAAUGGGAAUUUGGUCCACUCCAUGAUGCACCACCAUCACGGAGUCUCACUAGAAAUUGACCAUCGUCAUUUACACCCUCUCCACGAUGCACCAAGGACAGGAAUGAUGGUGUUUUACGACUAGGACUUAAAUUAACCAUAACUCCUUCGUCGAGUGUCCGUUUUGGACGAAUCUUAUGUCGACGGAAAACUUAUUCGAUCAUCCACGUAAUGAAAAGUUGAAAUCUAAAGAAUACCAUAGGGAAAUAAGUAUAAAUAAUUCUAGAAGUCAAUGCUUGAUACUUUAAGGACAAAAAUUUAGCUUAGGAAAAACUACGGGGCGUUACAGCGAUCCCAUGUAUGUUUCAAAUAGAGAUGUACCGAUGAGUUAUUUGUUUUCUCCUUCUCUUAGACUUCUUCAUUUUAUUUUCCUCAUUCCAUGAUUGUUCCAAAGUAACUUAUCCUUCCCUUGCUUUCAAUGUUCUCUUGAUCUGAUGUAUAAAAUGUGCAUAAAACUUUAUCAGAUGGAACAAGAAAGAAUACAAGAAACUGAAGAAAGAAACAUAUAUUGUCAUACAAAUAUUGAUCAAUGUCAUCCCACAUUGUUUUCACAAAACAUUAUCCGACUACACUAAUUUACACACACACAGGCCCUGUUGAUUUUCCUAAUUACCUUAAGCUUAGUGAGAUGAAAGUUCACAAACAGUUCAUACUAACAAUAAGAGUAGAAACAAAAGAAUAGAGAAGAACAUGCGGGAUAUUAUUCGGUCCCAAGGCCUGAAGCUCUUCCCCUCCCAAAUCUUCAAUGUAUUGUUUAAUCUUCUUAGCAGAAACUUCAAGUUGAGGGCUCUCUUCAAGUUUGAUGAUUUUCAACGAAAAAAUAUCGCUGAAACUAGGCGGAAUCUCCUCAAGCAUAUGACAUCCCCUCAGUCCUAAUUUCUCAAGUAUGGGAAAGGUAUUCUCUUCUACUUUCCAUGUAGCAAGAAAAUUUGAGAUUCUCAAAGGUGUCUUCCUCCCCCAUGUUCCAUUCAUCCCCCUGCAUGAUUGUUCUCAUAAGGAACAACACUUCAAGGUUGGGCAGUCUCACUAUUGUUGAUAGUGAAUUGGACGUCAGAGGAAAGUUAUACAACCACAAUUUUUUCAAAUUCAAAGGCAAGUUAAAAUCGCACGACCAAUUUUUCACUACAGAGGGCCCACUGUCAUUUGUGUUUGAACUUUCAAAAUCUUCUCUGAGGAAAUCUAGUUUAGUUAGGAAAUCCAAUUUUGGGAACCAAUAUUGCUUUGUUGAAUAAUCCCAUGAUUCCUUGAGAAUAAAUACAAGCUCUUGAAGAUUGGGGAAUCUUAUGAAAAUAUCCUCUAAAUCUUUGGAAUAGGAAAGCACGAGGUUCUCUAAUACUCUCAAGUUCUCAAACUUUGAGUCCUUUGUUCUCAGUAUCGGUACAUUUGUAUCCAAAUCAAAUAAAGAACAAGCAAUCAUGGAUAGCAGUCGCAACUUUACAAGAUCCCAAAUACUCGGUAAUAGGACUAAGGUUGAUCCUUUGUUUUCAACCAUCAAGGUUUCUAGAUUCCAGAGAUUUGAGAACGAUGAAGGCAGAGAUCUAACUUCUGUCCCAAUGCUUAAGCACCUUAAAUAAUUCAACAUGCCCAUUUCAUUCAGCAAAGAAUCUUUCACCAUCAUAAAAGAGCUUCCCAGGAUCAACACGCUAAGAAGCCUCAAGUCUCUUAGGUGACAUGCAUCAGAAAGACGAUCUUCCAUAUUGUCUCCAGUUAUCUCCAAAGAAUAGAGGUGUUUACCAAAAUGCCCUUUCAUUUUUGAACUAAACAGGAUGAAAUUGUUAUCCUCAAAGUGCUCCUUAUCAUAAAAAAUGUCCACAAUACGUGGCAUCAAAUCUGAAGAAGAAGAUGGAUCACUUGAACUUAUCUGACCAAACAACUUUUCCUCUCUUGCUUUUAUCAAACAAAAGUCAAGCACAAGAUCAUGUAGUUGGAAAGUAGGGUAACCACCUAUCUCAUUGAAAGCAAUUACCAAACUACAGGAAAUUAAAUUAUCCAAAUAAAUUUCCAUCACUUCUUUCACACUCUUCAUCCCUAUCUGUUCAACAAGCCCUUCAGCACGCCAAUACAUUUUCAACAUAUCUCUAUCCAUUGCACUGUCCUUCAGAUAACUUGCAAGGUAGAGAAAGCAUGUCUUUAAGUGAUGAGGCAAAUGGUCAUAACUUAAUUCUAUAACCUUCAUCACAUCCACUUCACUGCUGAAAAUGAAGGAAUUCAAAUUAUUUUGAACUUCAAGCCACACAACCCUUUUAUUUUCCAAACCUACAAUGACACCAGCAAUCAGAUCAACAACCAAAGGAAGCCCUUUACAAUUUUGGGCUAUUUCUUUACCAACAUCCAAUAGUUCAUCGGGGAAACUCUCUUUUCCAAAUUCCCUUUUCUCUAAUAACUCCUAACUUGCUUCUGGUCUUAGCAUUCGAAGGUUAAGAGGAUCUGUGUUGCACUUUCCAUGAAAAGCCACUUCUUUUUGCCGAGUCAUCAUAAUAAUUCUACUUCCUUUCUCAACUUAAGGGAAAGGUCUUGUUAAAUCAUCCCAUGUAGUAGUAUCCCACACGUCAUCCAGCACAAUUAGGUACUUUUUUCCAUACAAUUGUUUCCGCAGCUUAUCAGCAACAUUAAUUUCCUUGCUGAACUUCAAAUCUGAGC
This 62506-nucleotide long non-coding RNA is filed under the name Capsicum annuum. RNAcentral describes it as "long non-coding RNA (CANN_LNC010614)". The record is from RNAcentral. Lineage: Eukaryota; Viridiplantae; Streptophyta; Magnoliopsida; Solanales; Solanaceae.